GAAAAUAAAACUUUAAAAAAUUGAGCAUCUUUGUAUUGAAUGCAUGCUUAUAUCCAACAUUCACAUCUAAGCCUAAGUAAUAUAGGCUAGAGUGCAUUGCUUUCAGUGCUUUGCUGUGGCUUUUGGUGCCUAAUUUUGAUUCAUUAAGCUCAAAUGCCCAUAAUUUUAGUAGGGCAUCUCUCUAUGUUUCAUGGCAGUCAAGAUCGUUUAUAGAAAACCUACUUGUAAUCUUAAAACAUCCUAACACUGUAAGUAGAAUUACAAGAUUUCUCUCUAUUAUUAGAUAUAAACAAGUUUAGAUUUCUUAUACUGUUUUGAUGAUGCAUAUUCGCGUGUCUGUUUCCAUUUGCCUUUCUAGCAAAAUGCAUACCGUUCUUAACAUGCUUGUACUUCUGAAACUCUGAUAUUUCUGUGAAACCUCAUAUGUACCUAUAGUUCAUUCUGAACUUCUUGAAGUAUAUGUCCUCCUUCAAAAUCGAAGAAUUCUUGGAAGUAUACUCUUUUGAAUUGUCUAGGUUUCAAAGAAAUAAUGCCACCUUUGAUUGUUGUUAUUUCAUUUCAGGGUUGGACGUUGUGACAGCGAUCGCUUCCAUCCCAACGUACAAACCAUCAGAAAGAAUUCGGCAACUAAAUGACUUGGCUGAAUUCUUCGGAGAUGAAAGAGCACAAAAAGGGCGCUCGUUAUGGAACAGGCCUCUUAAAACUGUUUAUAUCAGUGACUGUGGCGAGCUUCAAGUUACCAAGCCUUCAAUGUCACCUACUCUGCCUUGAAACAUCUAUAUAUCAAUUUAUUUAUAUAUAUAUAUAUUCAUUCUUUAGUCUCCACUCAUUUGCAUGUACAAACUCCUUGUUUGUAAUCUUGCAUUUUUAGAAAGAGAAGAACACAAACAUAUAACAUCUAUGCAUUAAACAAUUAAGAGGAACCCCAUUCCAGCAAUUCAAGGUUUUUCUUCUCCUAUACAGAGAAAGCUUCAGUCUGAACUGGGGGAAUAGGGCUGCUGAUGUUAAAUUCGACUUACACUAUAUAAUUGUAUUUGUAUGAAUCAACUUAGUUAAAUACCAAGUCUAGCAAUUCAAAGUUUUUAAUUUGUUCGUCUACCUGUUUAUAAAUAUGAUCGAAUUGAUAGUAGUUUAUAAAUCUGCUGUGAUUUGUGUAGAGCUCAUCAAACGGUUGCAUUUUUUUGGUUUAAUGAAAUGCGAUUAACGAAGAAAAUAAUCUGGGCAGGCUAGGCUUAGCUUUAAUAAUGAUAGUUGGAUUUGGGUAAAAUUUUGAGUUUAUAUUCUAGGUCAAAACUAACUCUAAGCAAAUUCCUAGAAUAUAAUGUAAAGGUUCUAUUAUUGGCUUGGGCCUAUAAAUGAAACAUCAUAUAACUUGUGAAUUCAACGAGUUGGUUUAUAAUUCAUGAAGUAAAUUAUCAUAUUUCCGCAAGAUUCAUUAAACGGUUGCAAUUUUUGUUGUUUAAUGAAAUGCAAUCAACAAAGAAAAUAAUCUGGACAGGUUUGGACAGGCUAGGUUAAGCUCGAAUAAUGAUAGUUGGAUUUAGACAAAAUUUUGAGUUCAUAUUUUGGGUUAAAGCUAAGUUUAUGCAUAUAAAAUUUUUUAAAAAUAUCUUGUCUAAACUUAAUCUGGCAUGACCUAUGAAUAGGUCUAAUAUCGGCCACAGCUUAGUGUGGAAGAUUUUCCAAUAAUUACAAAGUCAUCAAAAUUAAUUUAGUUAGAGGUCGAUUAAAAGUUUUUUAAAAUUUCGGUUGUCAAUUAAUUUAAUUUGAAAAAGGCAGUUAAUUGAAUUAUUAUAGAUUAAUUGAUAACCAAAAUUAAUAAUAUUUUAUAUACUAUAUCUAUAAGCACAAACUCAAUAUAUAAUAUAUAUAAACCCAAUAUAUAUAAUAUUUAAAGCGUGAUAUCUCUAAACCUUUGUAUGUUCCCCCUUUCCUGUAGGCCUAAGUGCCAAAGCCCAAAUGAAAUUAUAAUAAUGAAAACGCCAACCAAAUUAACAACCAGUAGACCAAGAAAUUUUAACUCAAACAUCAUUGGCUGUUCCUCCUGCGUCAUAGUAGAUCUCCCUGUCUCUUUUAUUUCACAAUUCUCCAACAACCCUGCUUUGGUGUUUUUUCUCUCUUCAUAGCUACAUCUCUCCCUCCUUUGAUCUUCUUCUUUACCAAAACUUAAACCUCUUCAAACAUGGCUUUUGAUGGUUUUGUCUCCCACCAUAGUGAACACAUGCAAACCCUUGCUUUUAACCAACCCUCUUCACCUCCCAACUUCGACCCAGCUAAAUGCAAGGCCGAGAUAAUAGGGCAUCCCAUGUACCCCCAGUUAUUGGAAGGCCACGUGGCUUGUCUACGUGUUGCCACGCCUGUUGACCAGCUCCCUAAGAUCGAUGCUCAGUUGGCUAGGUCCCAAUAUGUCUCGGCUAAGUACUCAUCAUCACCUACUGCUGGGGCUGCUCACCAUGAACUCGAUCACUUCAUGGUAACCCCUUUUUCUCUUCUUCUUUCCAGAUUUGGGUACUCACCCUUGACCCUUGGAUUCGUAGUUUUUUUUCCCCUUAUUCUUUGUUCCUUUGUUUAUGAUCUACCGACUUGUUCUGUUUUGAUUUUCUUUUUGUUGUAUUCAAGUUUUGAUGGCUAAUUAUUUGCAUUUAAGUAGAUUUUAUUUUACAGCAGUAGGCGACUGUUUAAAGGUAAAAUUUUAAUUUAACCCUGUUCAAGAAAAUUAUGGAACUCAACUGAGGGUAAUUUUCUUAUAAAACAUGUGUAUUUGAUCACUAAUGUCAUCUUUUUCAUUUGAGUAUUCUCUCUUUCUUUUUCCCUUUAAUGUAGGCAAAUUAUGUGCUAUUGCUUGGUUUCUUUAAAGACCAAUUGCAGCAACAUGUUCGUGUUCAUGCAAUGGAAGCGGUUAUGUCUUGUUGGGAUCUUGAGCAAUCACUUCAAAGUUUAACUGGUAAAUGAUUCUCUGCACUGUAAAUACUGUUUUGGAGUUGAUAGAAAAAAGUAAAAGUAACAUGUCAAUGCAUCUUUAUAUUGUGAUGUAGCUAUGUCAUCCAUAGGAGUUGGACUUAAGUCUUUGAAUUCUACAGAUAGCUUUCCUUGUUACUCUCAUUCAUAAUAAUGAAUUUGUCCUGUUUGGUAUUACUGCAUUAACUGUAGAUUGAAGUGAAAAAACUUAGAGCUAAACUAUGAAGCAUGAACAGGUGUAUCUCCAGGUGAAGGCACAGGUGCAACAAUGUCUGAUGAUGAAGAUGAAGUUGUAGAUAAUGAUCACGGUUUGUUUGAUGGAAGCUUCGAUGGGAUCGACAGCAUGGGAUUUGGCCCUCUUGUCCCAUCAGAAACUGAGAGAUCCUUAAUGGAACAUGUUAGGCAAGAACUUAAGCACGAAUUGAAACAGGUAGGAUUUCUUAAGAAGUUAAAUAGUAAACUGGCUUGAUCUGUAUUCUGCAACUAAAAAUUCGUGUCUUUUAAGGGUUACAAAGAGAAAAUUGUGGACGUUAGAGAGGAAAUUCUGCGCAAGAGAAGAGCUGGAAAGCUACCUGGUGACACCACCUCGAUUUUAAAAGCAUGGUGGCGGUCACAUUCCAAAUGGCCUUACCCAACAGUGAGUGUGAUGUAUUUCUCAGGUAGUUCUGAUCCUCAAAAUGUUUUCUUUUCAACAGUUUUCUGAUCAAGUGUUGCUUCAGGAAGAAGACAAAGCAAGAUUAGCACAGGAAACAGGAUUACAGUUGAAGCAGAUUAAUAAUUGGUUUAUAAACCAAAGAAAAAGGAAUUGGCAUAAUACCCCCUCCACUUCUCUGAAGAGCAAACGUGAGAAGUAGGCUGCUAAUGGAUGUAUGUAUAUGUGUCUUGAUGAAAAUGAGCUUUUCACUAGAACAUUUGUCGAUUUUAAUUUGGAAAAGAAGUAUGCAGGUUAAACCAGUGAUGAAGCCUUAAUGUAAGCAAAAGAAAAGCCCUCUGCAUAGCAUUAAUAUAGCUUUGCUAGAUGGUUCUGUAAUCCUUUGGCUCAUGCUUUCCUAUGUAUGUACAAGAAUGACUUCAGUAAGUCGUGGGUUUAUAAUGUAAUUAUCUACUUGGUCAUAUAUAACAUGUUUUUACCAAUUAAUUGACAUUAUUAUAUACCCAUUUCCUUGAAAUCAAAUAUGCAUCAAACAGGUUCCUAGGAUUGCAAGAAACAAAAGAAUAUUACUGUACUUAAACAUGGAUUCUACAAGAACAUAGAAUAAACGUAAAACAAUGUGCAGACAUGUUGAAUCCGUAUAAUUAUUUUACAAUCCUGAGGGGACUCGUUGCCUAUCAUGUUCAAAUGGAGCAGUAAACCUGGAAGAGAAACCACGAAGCAAAUCAUCUGCUUCUUUAUCAUCGCCUUCAUCGAAGUUGAGAGCAUAGCUACAAGGAUCAUAUUGAAACCUGUUCUUUUGAUCUUUCCGCUUAUCGCAAUAUCCACCCAUCUUUCUUAUAAAGUUCUUCCACUUUGGCCCUGCUACUUUCUCCGAGAAUUGUUUCAGUUUAUUCAGUUUGCAUUUCCACCAUUCCUCCGUGUGUUGUUCACCUCUCUGGUGCAGUAAGGUGUUGGAUUCAUUGAUGUGGUUGUAUGAUCGGCGCCGUUUGAGGCAGAAGAGAUUAAAACAACCACACCCUUUACCCCAAACUCCUUCAUCUUCAACUUCUGCUUGCAUGAAGAUUGGAUUCUCUUGAGAAUUUUUCAUGGGAAAGGAAACCAAAACAGGAAAGAAAAGAAAGGAUUUUGGAAUUUGGAAUUUGGAUUGGGAUAGGGAUAGGGAUAGGGAUAAAAAAAGGAUGAUGCUUUUUCUUAUAUGGAGAAUUUCUGGAAGAUGAAGAGAAGGAAAAGAGAAGUGGGAAGGAAAUGGUGGAAAUUAAAUAAAAUAAAUAAACAAAUAUUAAAUAGUAGGUAAGGCAAGCCUUGAGUAUGGAUGGCGGCUCAGUGCUACGCGGUAUCUUUUUUCUUAAUGUCAUCGGAAAGUGGAAAAAUCGCCUAAAUGAAAAAGUAUGGAGGAAGAAAAUGGCGGAGUCAAAAAUCGCGUGAGUAUAGAGGAACAAAAUUUAGAAUUUAUUUUAUUCAUUUUUCAAAUUUUCAAAUUUUCAAAUUCAAGUUUAAUUUAUUGAUAAUUUUUUAAAAUAAAAAAUUCUUACCGGAUAAUUAUGUAAUUAAUAAAAUAACUAUGUAAUUAAUCAAAUUUAAUUAAAAAUUUUAAUAAUAAUUAGAUCUGAUUUUUAAAAUUUAAAGAAUAUUGAAAACCUAGAAAAGUUAUUUGCAUUGAUAAGGUUAUUUUUAUUAUUUUAAAGUCACAAAAGAAAAUUUUGAAUAUCUUUAUAAUUGUAUAAUUUUAUUUUAAAAUUUGAUUUAUUUUUAGUUUUAUUAAAGAAAUUGGUGAUGAUAAACUCAUUUAAAUUUAAAUUAGUAUACAAUAUAUUAAAAAUCUUCAUGGGUUGAGUCAGGUCGAGUUUAAGUUAAACUUAAGUAUAAUAUUAAUACAUUUUAUACUUAUUUAAACUUUAAAAAUUUUGUUCAAGACUCAUAUUUAUAAAAAAAAACAAAUCCAAACCUCAUUUUAAACCAUUCAUGUUAUUUUUAAUUUUUUUUAUAUUAUUUAAAUUUUUAUAUAAUUAUCUUAAUAUAUUAUAAUUUUAUAAAUAAAAUAAUAUAUAAAAACCGAAAACCGAAAAUACAAGCAAGUAAAUUCAGCAUUGUUUGAUUGAAGAAUGAUGUAAGAUUUUACAAAUAAAAAAAAAAAAAAGGAAAACAAUCUCCACUUAUAUGGAACUGUAUUCACAGCGCAAUCAAGCUUUGUAUGAAACCAUCUAUAUAAGAAAACCAGUGGGGAUAAAGUCAGUUCCCUCGCAAACACAUAUAUGACCUAUGAGCAGAUUGUUCAAUUUCAUUUUCAGACUGAGGAUUAUGGGCUUUGUCCUUUAGGUGGUGGAAUUUUAGCAGCCAUUGACCGUAACUCGUUCACGAUCUCGGUGAAAUUUGGUCUCUCUGAUGGCUCUGAUGACCAGCAUCUCUCCAUCAAUGAUCUCCAGUCGGGAUCACAUGAUUCUGGAACCGCUGGCCGCAGUGUAUUACUCACAAUACCACCUGAAACAAUGAUGGUUGGAUAUAAACUGUGAUCCGCCAUAGCACAAAGAAAGGAACUCAUGAUUUACAUCUAUAAAUAAAGGCAAUUUACCAAUGAUAGCCCCAUAGUGCAAGUCUGCAUAUGGUUCUUCUCUAGUGAGAAGCUCCCACAUCACGAUACCGAACGAGAACACAUCAACCUAAAUUCGAGGAAAUAUCAACUCUAUUAACUAACUAUAUGUAGGGGGAAAAGAGCAUUUACAUGAUAGAGGAGGGUACUAGACUAUGUGGUAAUCACAAACCUUUUCCGACACGAGACUGUUGCUGCCAUUUAGAAGUUCUGGCGCCAUCCAUGGAAGUGUUCCGCGCACACCACCUGAUAUUAGAGUUUGACAUUUCACCUUUGAUAGCCCCAAAUCCCCAACCUGGUAACGGAAACUAGGCAUAUGAGAACCGAACAAUUGAAUGAGUUCAGCAUGAAAUUUAGAAAACAUUAAAACUAAUGUAGGACUAAAGAUAUGGAAUUGCAAAUGAAACUCGGGCCUAAGUACGAACCUUGCAUAUUGGGCGGUGAGGAUCUCGAAGAUUGACAAGUAAAUUAUCACUCUUCAAAUCAAAGUGCACUAUAUUCUUUCCAUGCAAAUACUCCAUUCCAAAGGCCACAUCCAUGGCAAUCAAAAGCCGCUUGCACUUGUCAAGGUUCCUGGCAACAGCAAGUCAUCCAAUUAUUAUUUAUAGCCAAAUAAAUGUACAACUGAAUCACAAUUGUCUAGCAUAGCAAAUAAAACUUUUAGUACCUCUCGCUCUUCUGUAAAGCAUCUCUUAAAGAACCACUAACCAUAUAUUCCGUCACUGUUGCUACAGAACCACCAGGACCAUCAAGUACAACACCAUAGAAAGCCACAACAUUGGGAUGAUGCAAGUCAGCAAGCUUAAUUGCCUCAUUCCAGAAAUCAUCAAUCUAAUCAUACGCGUUAACCACGGUACAAGUUGUUAGCCUGUGAAAUUACAAAGAUGGAACUAAUUUGAAAAAUUAGGAGCUUGCAAAGAGAAAAGGAUAGAACCAAACCAUGCGUUCUUGUUCAGAGGGUUUUCCGGCAAAACAUCUAUCAUUUAUUCGUUUAAUUGCAACAUCAGUACCCCGCCACUUCCCAUGAUAAACGGUACCAAAGGUGCCAGAACCAAGCUCCCACAGCUCUUCAAGGUCACUGUCUUUUAUAACCUGCCAAAUAAAUACAUAGCUAAUUUAAUGGGCAAUAGAAGUUAACAGUAGAAGCACAAACAUCACAUAAAGGCAGUACUUAAAGUUCAACCUGCAAGCCACCAAUGCCAUCCGAAACUCGAAGACCAAAAUUUGUUCUAUCUGGCUGUUUAGUCUUUAAUUCCUAAGUUAAGAAAAAUAGUAUGAAGGACAGCUCAAUAAAUGGAUCUGGAGAAGACAGUCACAGAUAAAAGAAGGCAAGGGGGAGGUGGGGUGAGGAAAUGAGCAUACAAAUGGAAAUCGAAAGGAUCUUAUAUUCCGCACCUCAAAUUUAGCUUUGUGUUGCAGUUUAAUGUCACUAGGUAAAACAUCUGUGUCUUGAUAGCCUUCAUUACCAGAUGCAUUGGUCUCUGCUGGAACGUCAGGAUUUGAAUGAGUAGAGGACCGGAAAACAGAAGCAGCUACUUCUUCAGCAACAGCUUGUAGUUCUUCCUUGAUGAGUUCCUCACCUGAGCCUUUGGCAAUGAAGGAAACAACAAUGAACAUUUACUCCAAACAUGAAGUGAUAAAUGCCAAAUUAUAUACAAACUAAAAAAUCAAAUAUUUCACCUUUCAUAGAUUGUGUGUGGUCUGAACUCAAAUUCUCAUUUAAAUGGCUUAAUGGCUGGUAAACUUCAUCUUCCAAUUCGAUAUUAGAUUCCCCACCAAUUACUGCCUGGUUCUCUCCAAAAGGGUCUCGGUCCUCUCGCAGAGCCAAUAAUUCUUUCUUUGUUUGAAUUUUGUUAGGUUUAGGAGGAGGAAAGUAAGCAUGUUGUUGUAGAUUCCAAGGAUCUUGAUUGCUAAAAAGUGAGUUGGAGGAAUCCAAAACAUCUCCACCUCUAUUGGAUGGUGAAAAGUAAGCUUGGCUGUUAGCAUUAGAAGGAACAGCUUCAGUGUUGCAUUGUACAAUCUUCUGCUGCAUCAAAGAAACUUCAUCGAAUCCCAAUGUAUGUGCUGACUCAACACCAGAAAAUGGAGGGUUCCCAUAUUGAACUUCAACACCAACUUUUGGACGUCCAUGUGUUACUAGAUUAUCCAAUAGCAACUCUUCCCCAGCUAUAUGUGGAGAUUUUUCAUCCAAGAUAUCUUCUUUUCUAGUUUUAUCAAUAGGUAAACUACUCUGCUCAUUGCUCAUUUGAAGAGGCUCCAUCAUCCUAUCAAUUUGGAUCAGAUGGUUAGGGUCUACGCUAUCUUUUUUAGGUACAGCAGGAACCCUUGACGUUUCGUGCACUGGCUGUUCUAAAGCAUGAAUGCCAAUUGCCUCAACAUGUGGAACCUCCUUUUGGAACUGGUAUUGAGUUGGCAAAACAUAUGGUGAUUGAAAUUCACUUGCCAAACCCAUCAAACCUAGGCUUGCUGGAAUCCUAGGGUGAUCAGAAUUAUCUGUUUUUGGGGAAAUAUUCCCUUCAUGUCCAUACGGUGCAUCAGGAUUUUGAGAGGAUCCAACUGCCUCUGACUUCAAUCCACCAACUUGAUGAUCAACAUGGCCAAGUUGUUGCACCCCAGCUUGCUGGUGAGCAAUGCCAUCCCCUAUCGGUGCGGUCACCACAACUUUAUUCACUGAUGAAAUUCUCAUUGAGUCUUCUUGAUGCAGACCAUGAUAACUAGAAUCUGCAUUCACCAUAGGUGUUGCGCCACCAUCUCUUUGGUCCUGCACCAAAGGAUCAGAAUGCACAUGAGGCAAUGCCUUUUGACACAUAAGGCAGUCCUCGAUACUGGGGAUCUUCGCUGGAGUAGUUACUUUGAUCUGCUGCAAUGAUCCAUCUGAGAAGACGACAUGCUCAGUUUGUGGAGUAUGAUGGAAAGUAUAACCUCCUGCAACCAUUGCUGAUGGAAUCUCGGCCUGAUAAAUAUUGUGGCUCUGAUAAACAGGAUGCUGAAUUAUCCUUGUUCCUAAUGCAUUUUGAUCAGGAUAAUGCUCCAAUGGAGUUUGUUGGUGUUGCAACAGCGGCUGAAACGGUGCUGGUCUAACAACAACAUGAGAGAUGGAGGGAGUCAUAGUCAUGUUAAAAGCAGGAAUGUACUGAUGAGGGGCAUUUUCUUGAGGCUGCUGUUGAUUGAACACAGAACCAGUAUUUGCCACGAACUUAGGAUUUGAGAACUCCAUUUGAGGUGCAAACUGCAUAUAUUCGGUAUGGCUUGUAACUUCAUGGCGAGGAUCAACAUGUGUAGAUGCAUAGUGUUGCUGCAGAUCAUAUCCCAAUUGCUGCUGUGUUGAAGCAAGCCGCACCGUCCUCCCAGCCUCAAACUCAAGUUGAGACGAAAGUGUUUGAGGACUGAUAUUAACUACCGGGCUUCCUAAAUGAACACCGGAAAUAGGUGAAUUCCCUCUAGGUGACAACAAGUUUGUUGAUGGAGGUCCACCAACAUCCCCUUGAACAGCACCUGAGCUAUCAACAGCUUCACUCCCACUAAUAUCAGAGUUUGGUGUUGAAGUCGCACUUGCUAUGCUCUCCUUACGUGCGAUGCCACCAGCAGCUCCAUUCACAAUUCCAUUUACUGCCUCAACAUAUUUCUGCCCAUUGUCAUGCAAAUCCCCGAAUUGAACCGUACCGGAAGGAUCAAGUUCCGAAGCCGAAAACAAAAAUACCCUUGGUUUAGCAGAUCCAUCUGAAGACCUUUCAAUCACUUUCUCAUACUCAUCCAUCAUAUUAACAAGAUCAUCGGAGCAUGAAACGGAAACUAAUGCAUCAAGGUCCUCAUCAGGAAGCUGGUACUUGAUAACCACAGGUUGCCCAUAAGUAUCCAUCAUUUUUUGCACAAACUCAGUAAAGCUCACAUCUCUUCUAACACUAAUAAUCCUUGUCUGCCCCCCUACAUAUCUCAACACCCCAUCACUUGGUCUAGGCAAUAUCUUCCCCCCAAAACUACACAAAAACUUAACCUUUUUCCCAGACACAGAAUCAUCCCCACCCUCAUCAUUAACCUGAUCAGCACCAUUGCCAUUACUUACAACUCCUGAAUUUGAUUUAUAACCAACCCCACCUAUUAAUUCAUUCCCAUUACCACUAACCUUGUUUCCCAUAUUACAACUAUGAGCUAAGCCUACAGUCACCCUAUCGUGACUCAAUUGAUCACUCCUAUUCCCACUAAUCCUAUUGCCCAGACUAGGACUAUAACCAUGCCCAGCUACCACAUCAUUACUAACCUGAUGCACGGCAUUAGCAGCCACCAUAUUGCCCAAAUUCGGACUAUAACCGAACCCGCCAACCAGGUUCAUACUUGAAUUCCCAACCGGCACAGGCAUAGGCAUGUGAGGUCUCCAUGCAGGGACACCCGGUGUCAAGGGCACUACAUUCCCAUAUCCUAAACUUGCAAAACCGGCAUCAGUCACCGUUGCUGGAUAAAGAACACGCAUGGCACCACCAUAAGUCUCAAGCUCCCGAGGCGAGUUGGGAAGAAACCCGUCAAUGCUUGCACCGCGGGUAUUAUUAGUGGCAGCCACCGCAUCCGCAAUUUGGGGCUCUUCAGUUACAAUUCUAGCUACAUUCAAUGGUCUAAGAUCUUCUUGUAUUGAAUUUUGAUCAAAUGCCAUAAUCUAUAAUACAGGGUUCAGCUGAAAUAUAGUCUAAAUCAAGUUUAGAGAAAAAAAAAGGGGGGGUAAUUCCCAAAGGCAAGAAACAGAGCUAAAAACGAUUCCUAAAACCAAGAAAAUUUAAUAAGAAGAGAUGUGAGCAGAGAGGGAGAAACAGUGAGUCGGUGGUGGAGCUGGGCCACCUUUGAUCCAUGGCUUUCUUUUGAGAUUCGAUGAAUCUCGUCUUUCAAACACACUUUUUGUCAGUUUGUCUCCCUGUUAUUUCUAUCCCCCUAUCUCCGGAACUUUGCUCUUUUGGUUUUCUUUUUUCCAUUUAUGGGUGGUGGGUGAUAAUUUUGUUGAGUGGAUAGAAAAUGACAGUGACUUCCAUAUGUAAUUUUCUUUUCUUAAGUUGCAAGGAAUUAAUGGGGGACAAGUAAAUGAGAAAAGAUGAAGGGUGGCGGCACGUGGAUGGUUUCAUGCAAAGUUUCAGUCAAAAUCUAAUGAGUAUGUUGUUUUUUUCUUUUCGAUUUAUAAGGAACUAAUAUUAAUAUUGUGUUCAGCAUUAUAAAAUAUAAAAAACGUUAUUUAUAUUCUAAAAUUGAAAAAUAUGUCCAACUUCAACUUGAGAUAAAAUAAUAAAUAUACAAAAAUUAAUUAAUAAACUGCAGUCAGCAGAAUUUUCAACCGUUAAUUAUGGUAUGGGCAGUUAUAUAUAUGUGGAGGGUUGUUAGUGGAACAUCUUUUAGGCAUUAUUAUUUUAUGAAGUUAGGUAUUAUUUGAAAGAUUUGUUAUCUACUGAACUUUCUCAACAAUUGACACAGCAAAGUAAAACCAUUAAAGUAAGAAGAGAACAAUCUCGGAAUUUGCACCCAAAAGUUGCAGGGGAAAUUUUCAAUCCUCAAAACCUCGUUUUCCGUGGUGAAAUCCCGUUUGUUGUAUCUUCUCAAACAAUAACAACAAAGGCUAAGUCAUAAAUAAAUACAAUGAUGACAAUCUGUAUGCAACUUGCACUCCCAAUAGGAUAAGCUUGCUUGACUUUUUUGGUAAAAUAAAAAAUCUAAUCCAAUCCUCUUUAUCUUGGAAGUAAAUUUAGUGAUCUUCGUAUGUACCGAUAGUACUGGAGAAAUAUUGCUCUUGUCAUCUCUUAGAAGGUUUUUUUUUUUUUUUAAUACUUGUUAAUGUCUACUUGGAAGGAAGAUGGGUUAAUGUCUACUUUACACCUAUAAGAUAAAAGAAAUACUAAGAUUAUAGGAUGUAACACUUUUGCUUUAGGAUAUUUUUUAAUACUUAAAGUCAAUAAAUAGAAGGUGAUCCAAGAGUAAAGUAAUGUAGUAAUAGUAGUAAUCACACCUCUGGAGAUUAAUAUAUAUGAGUAUUUAUAGCGAGAUCCCUUGGUGACCUAAGGUUGAUGGGAAUAUGAGAGCGCGUGAAGGGUAAAUCGUUUUGUGCUUGUAAUUAGCUAGGGUUAGUGUCCUUGAUCUAGCAAGGUUGUAUCUCUAAGCCCUUUAUUGAUCUUGCCCUUUAACCUAUGACAGAUACUACUAUUAGGUUGAUAUUUACUUUGAUGCAUGCAUGUUAUGCAUUAGUUGGUUGUUUUACUAAGGUUUGGUCUUUUGGGGCUUACUAAUUUCGUUGAGUUUGGAACAUAUUCUCUUGGGUACAAAUCUUAUUUCCUUGGGAUGGUAUGACUCAAUCUAUUUGACUAGUCGCACUAUACAUCAACCAAGUUAUAAAGUGACUUGGUGAGGAUUUGCUAUAAGUGGAUAGAAGACUCCUUCCAAUAGUGUCAUAUUGUUGGUGUCCCUUGAAAAGGUUUAAAUUCCCUAGUUGCUUGUAUUCUUUGAAAAGUUAAGCUUUUAUUGAUUUAGUGAGAAAAGAGUCUAGAUAGCUAAUUUGUUUGAAAAUUAAGUGAGAUAACUUGUGGAGUUAUAUCUCGCAUUUUUUCAGCUUUUCUUCUCCUAGUUAAAUUUGUUUUUAGUUUCCCACUUAAACUCUAAUUAGUGUAGGUUAUUUUAAUAUUAGUUUCUCACUUAAACUCUGAUUAGAGGUAUUUUUUCUACCUUACACAUUUAGGUAUUAAUUUGUUAUGUUUAUGUUUAAAGGGUUGUUAUUUCGAAUUUGGGGUUUAGUUUUAUCUCCAUCUUUAUACUCUUCGUUUUUGUUGUUUUAAUAAAAUUAUUUUUGCCUGUGGUUUUUUAUCGUUUUCGGAUGGGGUUUUUUCAUGUAAAAUAUUUGUAUUCGAUAUUUUCAAUUUCUUUGUUAUUUUACUUAUUUGUUGCUUAAUCGAGUUUAUCCAACAAAGUAGUACCAGAGCUCGUUCAAUUUUCACAAUCAACCUGUUCAGAGAUGGCAACAACAAGGUUUGAUAUUGAUAAGUUCGAUGGUAUCACAAAUUUUAAUAUGUGACAAGUUCGAAUGACAAAAAAUUGGUUCAGAGAGAUCUUGAGAAGGUCCUUACAGAGAAGAAACCUACAAACAUGAAUAAAUCAUGUCUAACAAAUAAAUGUAUUGCAAGAGAUUUUAAUAGACAAAACGGCAUUCUACUUAUGGAAAAUGUUAGAAACUCUCUACGUGACAAAGUGUUUGGCUAACCAAUUGGUGUUGAAACAACGUUUAUACACGUUUUGUAUGGACGAAAGUGAGCACCUUAAAGGUCACAUCAGUCAAUUUAUUACUCUUUUGAAUGAUUUAAAAAAAUGUUGAGGUUCAGAUUGACGAUGAAGAUCGGGCUAUGCUAUUAUUAUGCUCUUACCCUCUUCGUACAAGUCUUUCAAGGAGACCUUGAUUUAUGGCAAAAUAAUCUAUCAUUCGAGGAUUUGAAGGGUCAUCUAUUGAGUAAAAACAAACUCAACAAUAAGUUUUGUUCGAAUAGCAAGUCAGAUAGCCAAACCUCGAUUUUGUAAAAAGUUAAAUCACGUCAAGGCAGAUUGUUACAUACUGCAAAAUAAAAGGGCUGCGAUAUUUAUUGGAUAUAAAAAGGGGGAGAAAUACCUAAACUCAAGGGGAGUGUGGAUAAAAAGAGAAGAAAUCGCCAAAGUCUUCAAGCAUCGAGGAUGGAUGGAAAUCAUUGGGAAGACUUAAUUUCUCCAUCUAUUUUUUUUUCUUGUUUCUUUUUCUAUGAUUAGUUUAUUGUUUUUAUUUUAAGAUUGUUUUUCAAUUUUUUGAUGAACUAAGUUUUCAUUUCUAGAAUUGCAAUGGAUUCAAUGUUUAGUUAAUUGAAUUUUUUUUCUAUUUCUAUCCUUUUUUUUAAUAGAGAAUUGAUUAUUUACUCAUUUUUGUUCUUUAUUGAUAAUAGUUUGAUCAAUUAUUAAUUUGAUAAAACUUAAAGAAAUUGGAAAAGGACUUUUCAUUUUAGGUCUAGAAUAAAUAACUCUUUUUCUAUAUUAAAUGGUCAAUUUUUUAUUCCUAAUAGCCAUAACUGAGAUUUGUUCUUAAUCAAUUUAGUCUAAAUUAUUGGCAUAUGAAUAUAUCUCGAUAAUUAGAUUUAAUUAGUUCUUUAAUUGCUUGGAAGAGAAUUAAGAGAAUUUUAGUACUUUAGGUCAGUAAUCAACUUUAUUGUGAUAAAUUGGGUGGAUAUUGAAAAAUUAGCUAAUGCAUUGAUCAAAUUAUAAUUCUAUGCUCUUAUUAUUGAUUGAUUGUUUCGUUUUAAUUUAUCUUGCUCAUUUUUAUUUGUUUGAUUUAAAUUAAAAAUCUGUAUUAUCGAUUUAUUUGGAUAGAGUAUAGAGUAAAACUCACAAUAAGUAUACUAGUGUGUGCGCUUUUUAAGAAAUGGUAGAAGUGCACAUAUGUAAACUGAUGCGUGAGUACCUAAGGUUGGGUCAUUGAAAGAUUGGCUUCUUCAGCCAAUUGAUUGGCUAAAGGAUUGAAGUUACUGAUAUGGUUGAUGGAUAUGGAGAUUGUAGGUGGGACUCAUUUACACAUUGGUUGGACCAUUCAAUAGUGAUGCACAUUGCAAUAAUGCCUUCCCCGAGAGAACAUUUAGGACUUGAUAUGUGCAUAUAGAAUCGUUCAAACUCGAGUAAAUUUAUAGUUUUUUUUAUGCAUAUAAACGGAUGACUACAGAUAUGUUGGCACCAAAAGACUCCUUUUGUCUUAAUGCUUGAAAGCUUAAGGCUCAUCAAUGAGAGACAGUUCCUAUAUGCUCAAACAAUGAGAGAUGUCCGGGCAAGUUAACAGAUGAUGCCUCUUGAAAGACUUGUAGCGCAUGUGCUAGGGACAACACGCUUUGUGGGCAGUUUAGGUGAGGAUAAUUCCCAAUGCUAUUCAACAAAGCUUCUUCACCUCUAAUUUAAACAGCUGGCUACUUGAUAACUUUGAUAAUAAUCUUGCUUUACAGUUUGAUGGUGUUGAAUGGGAAAAGAUGUUCGGAAUUACAUGUUGGUGGAUUUGGAAGCAAUGUAGUGCGGAUAUUUUUAAGGGAGAAAGUUGUAGUGCUAACAAGGUGGCGGUUUUGGGCGAUGAAUGUAGAGUAUGUCGCUCGUUUGGCCAAGGGACAUCACAUAGAUAAUACAAGCCGUAGCAAUUGCAGUCUCCCUCAUGCUGGGUGUGUUAAAUUAAAUGUUGAUGGGGCAGUAGAAUCGAAUUUUGCAGGGGCAUCUACAGGUGGAGUCAUAGACAUGUAUUGGAAUUGACUAGUUGGGUACAAUAGAAGUAUUUGCUUAGAAUCAAUAUUUAAGGUUGAAUUAUGGGCAGCUCUAGAUGGUUUAAAUGUGGUAUAGCAGUGGGGUUUUAUGAAAGUCAUGGUGGAAAGUGAUAAUGAUAUGGUUGUACAAUUGCGAAAUGAGGAUAUGGUUGACUCAUACUUGCGCUCUUUAGUUCAAAACAUCAAGGAGUUGUGUCGAAGACAACAGUAGAUCAUCGUAUCGCGUACCCCAUAAAAAGCUAAUUAAGUGGUUGAUUAUGCUGCCAAGUUCCCUACAAGAAUAAAACUUACUAGGCAGUGCUUUGAGAAUCAUAUACCUAAAGCAUGGAAAUUGCUUAGCAAUCACGUAACGAGUGCUCAAUAGAUGUAAUAAAUCUACAUAUUAUGAAAAUAUUACUUUUUUUUUUUCAUAAGCAGUGCUGAGAAAUUGAUAUGUCUUUUUCUUUUUAAUAUUUUACUAUAAUCUUAUAGAAAGUUUGUCAACCUGGGUUUAAAAAUUUUAUUAUCAGUGUAGAAAAUAUUUUCAGACACUUAAAUAAUAUGUGGUGAGUGAGGUGGGAGAUCCUUGUACGCAAUUGGCGGAGCUUCCGAUGAGCGGCUGGUGGAAGUUACCAUGAAACUUCCUCCCCUCUUUCCUCGUCCCUUCUCAAUUUCCAAUUAAUAAUUUCAGCAAAUAUUUCCUCUACGUUUCUUCAGUAAGAAUGGCAUGAAUCCGAUUUUGUCUCCCCCUAUCCACAACCUUUAUUAGCGUUUUCCUUCUUUUUUACAGAUUCAAUCCAACUCCCUUUCUUUUUCUUUUAAGAUCAUCUUCUCUUUCAUCACCUCCUAGCUAGGUUCAAACAGGUAAGAAUGGCAUGAAUCCGGUUUUGUCUCCCCCUAUCCACAACCUUUAUUAGCGUUUUCCUUCUUUUUUACAGAUUCAAUCCAACUCCCUUUCUUUUUCUUUUAAGAUCAUCUUCUCUUUCAUCACCUCCUAGCUAGGUUCAAACAGGUAGGCAUUCGAUCAAACAAUGGCUGGUAUGCUUCCUGGUGUUGAAUGUGCUAGAAGAAGACGGAUCCACCCCACGGGAGCCUUAUCUGAUUCACCAAGCCCUCCUCCUUAUCGCUUCACAAGGAAAUCCUCUUUUUGUUUGUAUACCACCAACCAGGAUACUCAUUCUUGUUUACAGGUACUUCCUCUUUUCCUAUAUAGUUCCAUCUCUUUACAGCGUUUAUAUUGUCUUGUUAUAGAUUGCAGUUACUGUAAUUGUGAAAAUUUAUUAACAGCAAUUGGUCUGUAAUCAUAUUUUCAUCAUGGCAGCAAUAUAAGAGGAGAUUAUAACUGAUAUUGACUUGAGUUUUAAUUUGGGAUGUGAAUAUAUUGAAGCAAAGGAGCAUAUUAGAUGAGGCCUGUGAAGAUGAGGAGCUGGGAGGGAUAGCAAGAGAAGCUAAGAAAAGAUUAGAUGAGAGGUUGAGAUCACAACCUAAGAGGUACUAGAAUGGCAAAUUAUUUAUUUAUUUAUUUAUUAUUUCAAGUCUCAUUUCCCCUUACUUUGGGCAUUGAAAAUCAAUCCAUCAGGCAAAAUAGCAAUGAAAAUGGGAUGAAAGGGGAGUUGCAGUCAAAGAGGAAGAGUGUGAGUUGGCCCAAACUGAGUUGGAAGAAGUGUUAAACUUGACUUGUUGAAUCAAAUUCCAAAGGUAUUCCAACAGGUUGUACAACUUUUCUUUAGUGUACCCAAGAUUACUCUACUGCUUCUACACCAGUUACAGUCUCUCAUUUUGAUUGUUGGGUUAUGUUUUUGGAGAUAGAUUCUAUUAUAGAGUUUGGAAAUCCAUGAAUGGAUGUUGUAUUUCUUUUUUUUGGCUAAAUUGUGUAAAUAUGAUAUGAAAUUAUCAAAUAUAUUAAUAUUUAAAUAUUAGUAUGAUAUGUGUAAAUUAUCCUUAAAUUUUAUGUUCAUCAUGGUAUGAUUUUAUAUUAUUUUAGGUUAUUCAUCGUUAUCUAAUUGAUGUGAUAUAUGUAUAUCCAAAAUAGAAAAUCAUGAAAGAUGUGUGAGUAUCUAUUAUUUAAGAAAUAUGCUAAUCAAUUAUAGAUAUUAUAAAAAUAAUAUUAUUUAAAAUAAAAAUAUUUAUAAUAAAAAUAAAAUAAAAUUUAAAUAAUGAAAUUUACAGUUAUGUCUCAACUUGUAAAAUAUCCAAAUCUAGAAACAUGACAUAUGUGUCACAAAUAAGGAUUAAAAAUAGGAUUAAAUUAAAUUUACUAAUAAGAGUUGAGUGCAAUUAUAAGGUGCAUUAUACUUCUAAGAAGAAAUUCAGGUGAUGGCAUUGUUGAAAUGAAAAACCGUAAAUUUUAAAAAAAAAAUAAUUUUUAUAAAUCAUAAAACGAACAUAAAAAAUAUUUUAAAAUUAAAAUGUCUCGUAAUUUUUGGAUCAUAAAAUGAUUAUGUAUAUUUUUUAAAUCAAUUUAUUCUUCGUAACUAUUUUUUUUAUAUAGAUCAUUAAAAGAUCUUCAUAACUAACUUUUUUAAGGGUGAUAAUUAACCUUAAAAAUAGUAUACAUGUAACUUUCAUUAAUUAAAAAAUUAAAAGUAAAUACUAUUUAAUAAAUUUUAAUUUAUUAACUAUUAAAUAAAUAAAAGAAAUCAUGCAGAAAAUUUCAAGCCUCAUUAUAGUGGGAGGUUUUAAUACUAGUAUUAUAUAAAAAUAUGUAUAUGAUAAUCUCCAUGAAUGUAAUGUGAAUGUCAUGUUAGUAACGUUAGAAACAUUAAAUUUUUCAUUUAUUUAGAAUGGUUUGUUAAACUAUACAAAUUUAAGAGUUAAAAAGAGACAAAAAUAAAUUAAAUGAAUGGCUAAAACAUUUUUUUAUAAAAUCGAAGGGUUAAAUAAAUAAUUAUAUCUUAUAUAAAAGUAUAAUCAACGCAUAAUUUUCUAAAUUCAUUAAAAUAAUAUAUUAAAUGCAAAUGGAAUUUAAAAAAAUUAAAACUUUUUUAAACUGGUAACUAUUAAUGUUUAAUUGGUGCUUGUUGAAUCCUCAAGCCUGUUAUAAAUUGAUUUCAAUAUAUUUGAAACCUCAUUUUAUCAUAGGGAUUGGAUCAGAUUGAAAUGGAUCAAUUUAGUUUUUAUAUUUUUAAAAAUAUCAAGUAAGGUCAAAUUUCAAUGGAGUUAACAUUUAAUAUUUAACGAGGUUAUAUUUUGAAAGCUUUUUAUGAUUUUGUAGAUGAAAUAUUUUGUUUAGAGUUGAACUAUAAAUAAAUAAAAAACUAAUUUUCGUGUCAUUUUUUAAUCAAUAAAUAUUAACGCUAUCCCAGUUUGGCUUUAUUUGAUUCUUUUUAAAAGUAUUUAAAAAUAGAGGGACUAAUUUGAUUCAGUCCCUAGAAUACGGGACUUCAGAGGUAUGUUUACCAUUAUAAAUUAGAAAAAGAUGAAAAGAAGAGAAAACGACAGCGUUGAAUAACAAAUAAUUGGGCAUUGCGUUUCUUGCUUCUCUCUUUCACUCUCAACGGCUAGUUUCAAGUUACCGUUUUAAGUUCUCCCCCAAGAUUCAAAAUCCAAUUAACAACCCCACCUUCUUCAGAUUUCUACACGUUCCUCAAAAAGAAAUUGUUUCUUUCAAAAAUCAAAGCACCGGCAACUAAAAUCAUCAAUCUAAAAUCCAGAUUCAACCCAUUUUCAGGCUCUCAUCAACAAAUCAAAAGGUCAAAAAUGGUGUACAGUUAUACCCCAACAUACUACUCCACCAUCCAUGAUUCCAUCACUUCACUUUGCAAGACAUUCCCUUUCUCCUUCAAAAAAAGAGAUUGCCUGCUGCUGAACUCAGGCUUUCCAAGCUUCAAUCUGAUAAUCUGAAAUGGCAGCAGGAUUCCUUUCACCAGAUACUCAAUCUCAUGGGUCUGCAUAAAGAAGGGAUUUUGGGUGAAGCUUCUCCACCUGAACUUGAACAGCCUGUUAUCUUGAGAGAUAAACUGCUCUUCUUGCAGGUAACUAUAAUCUCUCUCUCCUUUUUUUGUGCGUGUGUGUUAGUUGAGUGGGUGAAAUUAUUCUUCAAAUUUGAUUUCCUUUUGUUGUAGGAACUGCUUUAUGCAAAAUGUAUAUCUGAGGAGGAGUACCAUUCUUCAAAAAGGCCUUUGUUGCAGCGGUUAGCAGUACAAGGAGCUGAAAUCGAGACCAGAGAUUUAGUCGUUGCGAAUCCGAAAGAUUCGAAAGAGAAUCAAGAAGAAGAAUGGUCUGUGAUUGACUUGAAGGAUGAUAGAGACAAUGUGUUGCAUUCCAAUAAUAAAUCGAAGAACAACUCUGCCAUGAAUCAGAUCAAAGGAGCAGCCUCGGUUUUCGGGUUCGGAUCAUCCCAGAAGCCAAGUAAAAACAGAUCAGAAAAGAGCAUUUUCGAUGUGGAUUCAAAACCAUCAUCAUCAGCCUUUAUGGAGGGUAAGGAAAGUGAAACAAAAUCAAUUCUAAUGCAAGAAGAAGCAUUCCCAACCGAGUCUGUGAAGGAGAAUGGUGGCGCAAAGAGAAAACCAUUUAAAACCCUGUUUCAUAGAGAGCAAAGAGAGGGGCAUAAUAAUGGCCCUGGUUCAGAGGAGAAAGCAUCAAAAUCAGCAAAGAAACAAUGGGGCUUUGAUGGUUUCAAGAAAUGGAGGAGAAAUGAUUCAGAGGAUGAGACAGCUCCUUUGCCUCUCAACGAAAGAUCAGAUAGUGAAGCAUUCAUGGGGUCAUGCCAACUUGUUGCAACUCCCAUCGGAGAGGGACCAGACACGAAACAGAUUAAGAGGAAGCUGCUUGCAAAUGGAGCUCCAUCGGAUUUCUUCAUCGAUAAGGUCCAUCUAAUGUUGAAGAAAAGAAAAAAAAAAUGUUGUUCUACUUGUUGUAUACUAGUGUUAGCUUAUAUCAAAUAUCCACUUGCAGGUAGUAGGAGACAAAAUAAAGAAGGAGCUAUCACGAAUUCAAUCAGAGCUCUCCACCACAAACCCCAAUCUUAAAUUUUCGUAAGCAAAUUCUUUCCGUUAAUCCUUAAAUCCUAUGUUGCUUUGCAUAUUUGCCUAAGUUUUGUUGUGCUUCUUGUAAUUCCACUAGGGAUGAUCAAAUUGAAGCAAUUUCCACAACCCUUCCUGUGGACAAGGCUGACCUCAAAAAAUUCUUUCCCAAGUAAGGAUGCUAAAAAAAUCAUGAUUUUCUUAUACGGCCAAAUGAUGAACAUUUCUGUUUCUUAUUGUCUGUAUUUUUUUUGCAAUGUUGAAGGUCGUGGUGUGAUAGAUAUGGAGAGGUAGUUCUAGAUGUGGUGAAGAAAGAAUUCAGGGAGCAUGUAGGAGAGAUGGAAAACAUAAGAAAUGUUACCAGACAGAAGCUUAAAAACAACUCAAGGCGAUGGACUACUUUUGAUGAUGAUAAUGAGAAUUGUCACCCAAAUCUCUUUGAUCAUAAAAACCCAAAUCCUGAAUCAGCUGUCUUCCAAGAUCAUAACCCCUUUUGGAACCAAAGGCGUGGCUCUUCUUCUUUCCUGGGUUAAAUGUGAAAAACCAACAAUGCAACUGCUAUUAUUUGUGUUGUUAAUUUCUCAAGUUAUAUAUUAUGUAUUUAAGAUUGAACCGGUGCAUGAACUGUUAAAGAAGAACUCUGUUCUUCUAAGUAAUCAUACUGCCGUUUCAUCUUCAUUUUAAUGCCAAGGUUGAUGCCAUCCUUUCAAACUCAUUUUUAUUCCUGCUUGAUAAUAACCCAGCAAUGGUUUUUGAUUUGAUCUUCAUUUUAAUGCCAAGGUUGAUGCCAUCCUUUCAAACUCAUUUUUAUUACAUUAAAGAUGUAGCCAUCAAUGAGUAAAAUGCAAGGCCAAAAAGAUCCUAUUUCCUCAAUUUGCUAAACUUAAUAAUUCCACAUAGGCCACAUCUACGAGGAAAAAAAGAUGCUACAACAUGGUAAACAGGAAAUAAAUAUAGAUAUAACAUUUAUACAAGAAUCCAUUACUAUAUUUACAUGCAUAUAUGUACAGUUACAUCAAAGAGAUGGAAUCUCAGAGUUUGAGACAGAAGACUCCCCACCACCAUGACGAACAUCGCCUCUGCAAAGUGGGCACACUCUGCAAACCAAGGGUAAAAAAGAGGGAAAAAAAAAAAAGUUACCGAAAGAGAGGGAAAAAGAAAAACAACGCAUGGUGCAGGGGAAGUGUAGCAAUACCCGUGUAUCUCUUUGAGCCAUUUAUCCACACAAGACAUGUGAAACUCAUGCUGGCAAGGCAGAAUUCUUAUUUGGUCCCCUUCCUCAUAUUCACCCAAACAUAUAUGACACCUAUAUAUAACAGGGUCAAUAGAUGCAAUGUGAACAUAAUUAUUAAAAAGAAAGGCAAAACUGAGUAUCAUGCACCUUCAAUCUACAAGUAGUAACAAAGAAAGAACUUACUGUUCAACAGCAUCCCCGUCCUCAGCUACAUUUGCUUUUUUGUGACUUCUGAGGGGGAAAGAAUCAACUACAGAUUCGGGAGCCGGCGGUGAUACCAUGGAUAGAGAAAGUGAUACUGGUUGACGAUGUAAAACCUACAAAUUAUUAUAUGGUAAGUUAUGAAAUAAUAGAUCAACUUUUCACGGACUACAGGGACAGUAGACAAAAUUAUAGAAACAAGAUGAUUUGACAUUAGACAAGUGGAAAGAACAUGCCAGUUGCUAAAGAAAAACUACCUCAAAUAGAGCCUCAGCAAGCAUAACUAUUCGAGAUAUGCUUACACGAGCACCCGGCUCAUCAGUUAUCAGGGAAGAAUCACAUGAGCAAGUGCCAUCAGGGUGGAUUCCAGAUGGACAAAAUGUAGUUCGCCGAUGAUUUUCAUCAUGUCCACCAUGCAGCCUUAACCAAUUCUGAAAAGAACCAAAUGAGAUAAUUAAUAAAGGUUACCUAAGGGAACUAGGCAGGGCAAUGAGGUGGAGGGACAGAUAUUGCUUUAUCUCUCCCACCCCACCUUUAGAGUACCCUGUCACAUGAUACCAUCCCUGCCUCCAUGGAAGUUGGUUACAUCCAUACCCACUCUGCUCCACGCUUACCUCAAUUCUUUAAAAUAUAAUUUAAUUAUGAAUACCAUAUCUUAAAUUAAACUAUUAAUAUUACUCACUUUAAGCAAGACCGAUUACUACAAGUUUCCACUUUUACAUAAAAUAUGUAUAUGAACAUUUAAGGAUGUAUAUGAGAAAGUGUAAAAUAUAUAAAAGGAUAAAACAGUAAUUCUAUAUGCAGGGCAGCAUGGAACAAACUGGCCCGCUUUCAAACAAACUAUAACCCACCCACCCACCCCCCCUCCCCCUGGGUGCACUUUCAAAUAAAAAUUCAUCCAUUAAGGGCAGACCAGUGCAGAACCGAUAAUUUUGCCAUCCAAAAGGGAUCAGACUGACAAAAUAUUCUGACAUGAUUACAAUUAAGAUUAGAAUUAAAGCCUUCAAGGAUGCAUAACUGGAUACAAAAGAUGUCCUAAUUUCUAACCAAAAAAUUGAACGAGGCUCAAAGAACAAAGGACCAUAAGCACCACCAUCCAGGAAUACUAGAGCCAAGAUAAUUUUCAAAAGAAAACUAGUUAGUUAAAGCAAGAUCUACUAAAAGUAAGUUGGAUAACAUAUAAAUCAAAGUGCUUUGCAAUUAAAUACCUCUAGUCUUGAGUGUCGUCUUCGUUCAUUUAAUCUAUGAAUUCUACUGCUGAGGUAACCAGAAUCACCUGCAGCCCCAUCAUAAAAGAAAUCACCAUCGAAAUCAAGGAGCCAUCUGUUAUCAAAUCCUGGAUCAUUAUUAUCAUCUGUUGAAAGAAAAAUGGACUGGGAAUUAUUAACUCUUCUGGAACUGCGUCUCGAAAAAGCAUCCGAAAACAUUCUUCUGCUAUUCCUCCUGGAUUCACGAUUACUUGUAUCAGCAGUGCCACCUGAUAAAAUAUUGGAAGAGAGACUCACGAGAUCAACAUGAAGAACACUUCCAUCUCCCUGGCUCCUCUCCCUAUUAGAUAGGAGAAAUCCUAAACCUGAAGGCAUCACUUCUAUAAUGGAUUCACCUCCGAUGGAGUGAGAAGUCUCCGGUUCUGAGGCAUGAGGAGCAGAAGCAAAACCAGAGUUACGUACUGUUGUUACUUCACCCGACUCAUUCUCAACAGGUAUUCUGUGUGAAUUUGAAUCUUCAAGCCCUCGAGGAGACAAAAUACUUGGCUCAGGACAGACCUCAGACACACCCUUGUUUGCAUUUUCAAAUCUGACUGCACACUCAUUAGUCGAUAGAUUUUCUGAGACAGGAUCUGAAGACUGUUGUUCUAGAAAGGGAGUGCUAGCUGAAGUACUACUAUCCUUAUGAGAUUCACCGUGAUCAUAACCAGCAUCUACCUGAGAAGCAACUAACUCUGUAUUUUCAGUCAAGCAUUUCCUACAAUGACUAGUUUCUACAUCUCUAGAACCACCUGCAACAGAGGAAUUCUGAUUGGCUGCAGAACUGCUUUCAGCUGGAAUUCCAGUUUCACUAUCUAUGCUGCUAAAUCUUGUUCCCAUACUGCAUAUCAAAGCAGAUUCCUCCAAGGGACUUUGGACAAUGUUGCUAACUGGGUCAGAGUGAUCUGCCGACUUCACCAGAAUUUCAGCUGGAUAAUCUUCAAUCUACAACAAAAGAAUGUAUUGUAUCAUUCCCUGCAGCAUAUUCUAGAGCUUCCAUGUGAAAUGAUUAGAUUACAACCUAAAUACAAAGAAGAAAAGAUAACUUCCAACGCAUAAACUUGUUAAGGAACAUGCAAUGCACAAGACAUUUGCUGGUGCUAACACAAUUAUAAUUCACUCGACUCUUGUAUCCUCAAUGACUUCAUGGAGCUCUCUUGGUGACCCAGGUUUGGAGCAACAAUUAUGAAAUGCUCAACCACUGCCACAAAAAAGCUUCUCUUUCCGCCUCCUGUCUACAUCUUGGAACCGAGAGGAAAGCUAAAAAGUUAAGCUUCUUCAUGGAAUUUUAACUAAAAAUGAACUUAUCAAGUGCAAAGUUGUAUUGUUCAUUUUAAAUAAGUAAAGAAAAAAAAAGAAAGAAAGGUAAAAACACCAACUAAAAACAAUCUAACCAAGUAAACUUGCUAAAUUAAUACCAGCCUCCAAGAGUUUGUGUAGCAUAUUUAAGCUAGAGUGGUCUUAAUCCACAGACAAACUAUUCGACAUAUUACACUGCAAAAAGAACAUUGCAGUUCUAUUUCAGUUCUUCCCUCCAAAUAAAUGACACACUGACAACUAACCCUAAAAUAAAAUGAAAAUUUGCUUUUAAAAGAGUGAAAUUCAGAGAAAAAGACACUUCAGAAAUUUAAGCAAUGCACUGAUAGCUUAUUCAUGCAAGCGCAGCGGGCAAUUUUUUUUUUCUUUGGGUCAAAAGGUUAAGGGGAUAGUUGAAUGUGCAUAUUUAAUGCAACACCAAGCCAACAACCAGACAAGUUUAUUCUUUGUGGCAAGGGGGUUGCAAGAACCAGUCAAUAUUCUCCAAUCAAAACUAAAGGCCGACACAGCACAAGAACCAAAUCCUGCAAGGAACCAGAUUCCUCAUGUUCCCUUAAGAGCAUUUUCCAUUAUGAAGCUAUUGGUGAAUACAUAAUUGAACCUACUACUGGGGGAAGAGCAGGUCCAAAAUAUCAUAUAAGAAAGGCUGGCACUCAGCAUUUGCAUCAUUCAAACGUCCAUGUAUAAAACCUUCUCCCAGAACAAUAAAACAUCAAGUAAAGCACUAAUUAAAAUGAGCAACCAUUAAUUUUGGAAUUUUUAAAGAGAAGGCGAGCAAUUUCAGACAAUAAAACAAUAAAAAUGAUCAAAGGAAAAAAAAAAUCAAUGGAGGAACCCUUGACAUAGUUAAUUGAGCAACAUAAAAAUUCAACAAUUUACAAAUUGUAUAUAUCUAAGCAGAAACCUUAAUAGCUCUUAUCUAUCCCUUUUCGGACCAGAGGACUUAGGAAAAAAUAAAUCAAUUACCAUGCAACUUCAAGCCUGAAUUAAAGCCAACAAAAAAGGAUAGGUUUCUAUAUGAAUUACUAGAAAGAAGUGAUAUUUCAUGAAUUGAGCCAAACCCAGAUCACAAAAAUUUUUAUUGGACACUAAAAAGAAUAUAAAAAUAAAAAGAACAGGACCAUUUACUUUAUGAUUAAUAACUCCAAAAUUAAUAAAAUUCCAAUAUAAUUCAGCAGCCAAAUAACCAAUCUCAAAUAAGCCAUUAAAAAAAAUCAAACUUGUGAUAGAUAAUUACCUCAAGAGGAGCAUGAGAUGAAGAGGCACCGCAGAUGAAAAAAGAAGAGAGUCUGGAACGCCGUUUGGGGCGGCGGUUGAGUCUCCCCCAUGAUGGGUUCGAGCCUAGUCGGCUGCUACACGACCCCAUCCCAGCCCCCUUCUUUCUAAACCUCCUCCUCCUCCUCCUUCAAAGGCUUUCAAGAAAAAUAAAAAUUUUUCUAUGACUGAUAGCUUUAUUUUCUUCUUUUUGAAAGUGAAAGUCAAUAAAUGAAGAUAGAAGGAGAAGACCCAAUUCAAUGUUUGAAAAAUGACGGAGAGAGAGAGAGCGAGAGAGAGAUGAAUUAUUUCUAUGGGCGUACGUGUGAAUGGGGAAAGAAGAAAAGGGCGUGCAGAGGAGCGUUUGUGCUUCGGAUUUUUUCUUGGUUCAUAAGCUUUGGGUUUUGUUUUAUUAUACCCCUUUGGAUUUACAAUCCUCACAAUUAGCCAUCACCUGUCAUCUUAAUUCAUUAUCUCACAUGAAUUGGAUCUAUUUUUAAAACUUUUAAUUACUUUUAAAUUUUUAAAUUUAUUUUUUCUAUGCUAGUCGAGUUUUAGUUCAAUUGGCAUAAAUAUUAUUACUAAUACAAGAAAACUCAGUGUUCGAGUGCAUUAAAGUACAAUAUCUCCUAUAAAUAAAUUGAAUAACUGAAUUGUUAAAAAAAUUAUUUUAUCCCAAAAAAAACUCUAUUUCUAGAAUUUUCUAGAAUUUUUAUUUUAGAUUGACAGUAUGCUUAAUAAUUGUUUUUAUUUUUAUAUAAUAUAUAUAUGCUUAACAAAAAAAAAUUAUGUUAUUCUUUUCACAAACAAAAAACUACUAGGAAAUUGAGUAGUUAAUUCAAAAAUAGUUAAGCAUUGUAAGAGGAUGGCUGGAUGAUUAGAAUAAUAACUUUCACUUUUAUAGCCAAAAUAACCAAUUUCUAUAAUUACAGGAAUUUGUUUGAUUUAUUCCGACCGUAUACAGUUAAUAGGGGAAAUUACAUCAUUAGUCAUUCAAUUGUUAUGUAUUUUUUGUUUUGAUCACUAAAUUAUAAAAUUUAAAAAAAAAGCCUUUAAUUUUAUCACCAACGUUUUGUAUUGAUUUUGUUUUGGUUACUCUCAAUUAAAUCACUAAUAGAAAUAAUGAUAUGGUCUUUUUAAUUGUUAUAAUAGCACAUUUAGUCCUUAGUAUUUACAUAUUCUAUCCAUUUGAUUUUAAUCUUAAAUAAUUUAAUAAAUUUAAUUCUUCAUUUUUACAAAUUCUAUCAAUUUAAUCUUAAAUGCAUCUUUUAUCAUAAACACAUAAAAUUUUCAUGUCUAUCUUUCUAGAUUUUUAAAAGAAAAUUUUCCUAUUUCAAAAUAAUUGACAAUAAAUUUUAGAAAGAAAUUUAAAAUGGAAUCUUAAAUUUGGCACCAUUUGGCAUGAUCGAUGUUAAAAAAUAAUUGCGUUGAUUUUUUUUAUAGCAAUAAGUAUUUUCAUUUAUUUUACAGUUUGAGCUUAGUCUUAUUCGGACUGGGGUGGUACUCCGAUAAAACCAUCUCAACAAUAUUGACUCUAAGAUAUAAACUUGGCUGAAAACUUCAAAUACUUGGAAAAAAAAUCAUUUCCACUUCUUCCAACUACUUGUUGAUAACUGAUUUUUAAUUAAAUUAGAAAUAUUUUAUUUGGUCUCAUUUCACGUGAUGCUAGAGAUAAAUAAAUAUUGUAUGGAGAAAAAAAAAUAAAACUCGUAAUCAAUUAUAUUUGGCAUAAUGAGUUUUAGCCCUCAAACUUAAAAAAGAAAAAUCAUUUUAUUCAUCCAUUUAAUUUUUUUCCUCUUUUAGCCCUUGAACUCAGUAUUUUUUGUCAAAUCACCUAAAAUAGACAAAAAAGUUAACGUUUGUUAACUUUGUUGACCUAAUAUACAUGUGGAUUGACAUGUAGAUGACAUGUAAAUAUUUAAUUAAUUUUUGAAAUUUUAAAAAAUAUUAAAAAAUAUUUUUUAAUUAAUAUAUUUUUUUAAUAAUUUUUAAUUUUUAAAAUUAUUUUUUAUAUUUUUUUAAAAAAAAUUAAUUUUAAUUAAAUGCUUACGUGUCAUCCUAGACCUGCUCAUGGGUUGGGCUACCCGGCCUGACCCGAAGGCCCUCCCGAUGUGGGAGGGUUUGGGCGAAAAUAUAAACCCGAAAAAUGGGCUUGGACAAAAAAAUGAGGCCCAUUUAAAAAAUGGGUCGGGCCUCUGAUAAUGUAUUUUUGACCCGGGCCCGGCCCGAAUUCACUAAAUGACAAAAAAAAUUCUGCUAUUUUUUUUAAUGUUAUUUUCUUAUUGUUUUCCCUAUUUUGCUACCAUAUUACUAUUAGUUGCUCCUAUUUUGUUAUUAUUAUUUGGAUAUUGUAUAAAACUUAUUUUAUUAUUAAUUUUGUUAUUAUUUUAAAGGCAUUUGUUAAUUUUAUUAUUAUUUUAGAGGUAUUUACUUGUUAAGUUGCAUCUAUUUUAAUGCUAUUUAAGUCUACAUAUUUUUUAAAAUUUAUUUUCAAUUUGUUGGAAAAUAUUUAUUUUGAUUUUUUUAGUAUUUUUUAUGUAUUAUAUAUAUUUAAAAAUUAUAUAAAAUAAUAUAAAAAUAAAUACGGACGGGCCCAGGUUUUAGUAUUUUUAUUUGGGUCAGGCUUGGGCAAAAUUUUAGGCACAUUUUUUGGGCCCGGCCCAGCCCGAGCCCAAUGAAUGGGCCUAAAUUUUUAGUUUAGUCCGACCGAUGAGCACCUCUAUGUCAUCUACGUUGCAAUCUACGCAACAUCAACAAUGUUAAAAAACUUUAAUGUUUCCAUUCAUUUUGGAUAAUUUGACAAAAAGUACAAGUUUAAGGGCUAAAAAUGCAACAAAUUAAAUGGAGGGCUAAAAUGACUUUUUUUUGUAAAGUUGGAGGGUCAAAAAAAUCAUUACAUCAUUAUAUUUUGAAUUUUAUUUUUUACUCUCAUAAAAUUAUAUACGAGUUAAUAAAUAAUAUAUAGAUUUUUUUAGAGAAGUGUUAAAUAAAAAUUUGAGUUUUUAGAUAUUAUUAUAAUAAAUCAAAAUUUAAUGACAUCUUUAAUAUUACCAAAAACUAGUUUUUUAUAUAAACUUUUUUAAAGACCCUAAAUUUAAUGGUGUCAAAAAUUAUAAUUUUGAGAUCUCGUUUCUGUAAAUUGAAUUCGUAAAUAUUAAAUAGGUAUAUUCACGGAGUUAGUAUAUAGAUAAUUGAAAUUUGAUUAAGUAAUUUAGCCAAAAUUAUGGUUAAUUAAGGCUCAAGGACUAAAUUAUAAAAUUUUAAUCGCUAUAGAUUUUUAAUUAAGAUAAGGCUUAGGGACUUAAAUAUCAAUUAUUCAAAAGACUAAAAUGGUUAAUAAACCAAAUAUUAACAUGUUUUAGUGGAUGAUAAUGAUAAUAGGAAUUAGUUAAAUUAAUAGUAAAUUAAUUAAAUUUGUUAGUUAAAAUUAAUUAAAAGUUUGAAUAAUGAAUAAAUAACAAAUGAAGUGGGAGGAGAGAUGAAGUAUCAUCUUCUUCUCCCCUAAGCCAUAGAAACCAAAGAAAAGAAAACAAAAAAUGAAAGCUUUAAGUUAUUAAGCGUUUAGCCAUUCAAUUUCAACUAAAGACAACGUCAUGUCAUCAAAAAUGAAAGGAAAGACGAGAAUUGACGACGUGUGAUGUGAGUUGUCGGUUUGUAUUUCUAUGAUUCAUGAUUAAUAUAAUUAUUUUAUAUUCAUGUUAAAUUGCAUAAAUUGGUAAAAAGGUGAGUAUAUAAUGGUUGUACGGAUUAAUUUAUGGUGAUUGAUAUGGUAUAGCGAGAUAGAGGACUAAAUUGAAUAAAAUAGAAAGUAGCAAGAUUUAAUUGAUAUGUGAUAAUUGGUAUGAAAUUGCAUUGAAACAUGUUAUAUGAUGUGUUGGAAUGGUGAACUGAUGAUGAUUUGAAACAUGUUAUAUGAAUUGAACUAUGUGAUGAAAUCGAAAAAUUGGUUACCCUAUUAAUUGUUCGGGUAGAAUCGGAUAUAGUUAGCAUGCUAUAAGAUUAGAUUGUGUGUGGGUUUAUAUUUCGGUUUAGCCAAUGAUACACUUAUGUACCGAUAUAUUUACUUCAAUUUAUCCCAUGAUACACUAUAUGUGUCUAUAUGAUUGCUUCGAUUUAUCUGAUGAUGCACUAUGUGUGCCAGUAUAUUUUUUUCGGUUUCUUCGAUGAUGCAUUAAGGCGCCAGAUUGGUGUGUUGGUUGAUUAAUCUGAGUAUCCAUCUUUAGUUCAAUUUCGGUUAAUAGGGAAUGUAAAAUAUGAAUUGGAUGAAUGAUAUUAAUUAAUUGAAUUGAUAAUACAAUUUGGUAUUAUAAAAGAAAAAUUGAUUGGCUAUAUGGUAAUUGAUAUGAAAUGUGAUUGGAUUUGGUAUAUUGAAUACAUAUGAGUUGUGAUAUACGAUAGCAUAUGAAUAAUCACACGAAUCGGUUUAUAUAAGCCUUAAGGGCCGAAUUGAAAUUGAACGAGUCAAUAGACUCGAGAAAAAGAAUUGAAUUAACGAAUGACUAAAUAACAUCGGAUGAAAAGUGAGAUUGAAUGUCAUAUUAAUGCUAUAUGAGUAUAUGUAAAUGAAAAUGGAUUGGUUGCAUCUUAUUUUAGAAUGCACGAUAUCACAUGUUUAGUUUGAUUAUUCAUUAGAAUGGUGUAUAAGAAUGAAAUUUGAGUAUUCAAUUUGCAAAUUGAUUUAGUUGAAUUGUAGCAUAUUUGAAUUAAAUUCUUAUAUUGAAUAGGUUCAUUUUAUGACUUGAAUCAUGGAAAUACCACUGGUCUUUACUACUCAGUGUACAAUUUGUUUUCUCCUUGAGCAGGUUUAGGUUAAUCACGAGGUCUUGAGAAAUGAAUCCAACAUCCAGCCAAAGUUCCUUGGCUUAAUAAAGUUUGCAAAAUCUUGUUUUUGUUUAAAGUAUGGCAUGUAUCUAGGUUGAGUCUGUUUUUGGUUUAAUAAGUGAUCAUGUUUAUAUUAAGCUUGAAAUGGUAACUUGGAAAUGGUCAAAUGGUGGAUCUGUAUAUGUGAAUAUGGUAUUUGUUUUGGAUUGUACAAAAGGUUGCAAUAUUAAAACUUAUAUAUAUGAAUGUAUAUGUUAACAUGAAAAAUCAAUGGUAAUUGUCAUAAGUGUUUAAAUUAAUAUGUAUGAUUAGGUAAUAUAAUGGUAUAUAUGAUGUAUUAAUAUGUAUGAUUAGGUAAUAUAAUGGUAUAUAUGAUGUAAUAUACUAUGAAUAAACAUUUGAGAAUGGUAAAUUUGGUUGAAAUGGUGAUUAAUUGUGAUGAAAUUGUUAUCUAAGUGAAGCUUGUGGGUACCAUUUUGUACCAUUUAGAAAUAGGCAGCUACAUUCGAGACCAAAUUAGUAUGUUGCAUCGCGGUGAGGAACCCUCGAAGUUGCAAAGUCAACUUGAGAUUUUGAAAACAUUACAAUUUGGUCCUACUUCAAUCUCGGGUUAGUAGUAGAGCUUUCGUAAGCUCGUAUAAGACCCAGAAAUGAUUGUAUAUCAUAUUAUAUGCAUGUAUUGCUUGUAAUUAAAUGUAUCAUGAUAUAAAUUAAAUGCAUUUGACCGUAGUUGCUUCAACAACGAAUGUGACAUCCUGUAGCUCUGAUCUAACGAUUAGGUCGGGUACGGAGUGUUUCAUUUUUAGGGCAUGUUUGAAUGAAAAAUUUAGAGAAGAGAUUUCAUUUCCAUUCAUUUAAAAAAUGAAUUUGCUAAUUUAGGUAAAAUUAAUAGAAAAUUGUAAAAUUUAUAUUUAAGCAAAUACUAGUUAGGUGUUAAGGUACCCUAUUUUGUAUGAGAUUCCUAAUGAUCCAAAUUGUUUGAUUGAGGUUAUUGAAUUGACAUUGCAAUGAACUCGAUACAUGUUAUCAAGUUCAAUACACUUGCAACAUAUUUAAAACUCAACAACUAUGGGUGGUGAUUUUAGUUUUGUGGAAGUAUGACUCAUGGUUGUCAAGUGUGUGGUUUUAAAGUCUAUAAAUACAACCCAAAAUCAUUCCUCCUCCCUUUUUCCAACAACCAUAUUUGAACUCAAAACCUUAAAAUCAUUUCCCUGAUUCUUGAGUUCUUAAUUUAAGUGCUACUUGUUAGCAUUCAAUGUCACACUUACCACCACAGAUGUCCCACAAAAAUAUCAUAAUCAUUUAGGGUUCGCUAGACUAAACCCUACUCGAAAUUAUUUAAUAGUUAAAGGAAAAUUAUUCAAAUUUUAUAGGGUUUAGGGAAAUGGUUUAUUUCCUGGUGUUACAAUUUUUAUAUAGUGAAUUUGACAUCUACCGAUUUGAUAGAUUCUUUCAUUUGGUAUGUCAAAUUUAAUAACAUCAUAACAACCUAUACUCGACCCGAAUCACCAGAUCCAGACAUCGGAUGAUACAACAUAUAAACACUUAGGCAAAAAAAAUUUAAUUUUACAAACGACGUAAAAGUAUUCUAAAACAUACUUCUUAUUUCAUCUUGUACUGUUCUAAAAAUAAAAGAGGAUGUUUAAUAAUACAUUAGAUCUUCAAAAUCAGUAUAUAACAUUACAAUUUAAAACUUUGUUAAAGAUGGACUUCUUAUGGCAUAGUGUAUUAAGCGUUAUAUUCCUAAGGUGCCCUCUGUAUGCAUAACAUCGCAACUCGAACUGCUAUAUAGUUAUGGAUUGGUCCCUCCUGGCAUACGCUAUCUUAAAGCGAAACCUGCAACAUAAACAAACACUUGUAAGUUCAAAUGAACUUAACGAGUUUCAACCCAGAUUACAUUGAAACAUUUUUUGUUGAAUUCCUCAUCUAAAAGAUUAUGGAUUUCCUUUCUGCCUUUGGCGAAAACUUUUUCUAAUAUCAGCCCAUACAUAUACGCCAAUAUUCAUACUUGACCAUCUACACAAAGAUCUCAUAUUAGGCAAAAUUUAAAUUUCAUCACUCAACACAGAUAUCAUAUUAUUCUUGGAGAACGAUUACAUUCCUCAUAAAGAUAUUUAUACAAAUCUACAUUCAACAGGCUUUCACACAAAUAGAUGUUGAAUACUUCCCUUAGACAAUACGCACAGAUGUUACUCUUGGCAGAUUCUUAUAAUGACUGAUCUUUUAAGGUGAACUUCUUGCAAAUCCUAUCUUGGCAGACUCUCAUGCUAAAUUUGGUAACUAUCAGAAUACUAGUCAGAUCUUGAUUCAACCUAGAAUACAACUUAUUUGGAUGAAUAAUACAUUCUAAGUCAUCUCAGACAAUCUUAUUUCAUAUCAUGAGGAUGCUUUGAUUUGACGGACAACUUAUACUUUAGAUAACCUUUUUAUAUACAACGUGAAACACUAAGAUUUGGUGAAUACCAUGGAACGUAAAUAACUUCCUUACAUAGCAUAGGCAAACUCAAAUCCGACGAACACUUAUACUACUCAUACUUACGAAUAAGCCAAAUUUCCUGUACCGACGGAACACUAUGAUGGAUUCACCCUUCAGAAAUAUUGUUAAGAACUCUUUAAGAAAUGCCCUUAGGUCAUAUUCACAUUUCAUCACAAGACUAUCCAAAUAAAGAUGUUUUCAAACUUAUCUAGAUCUCUACCACAAAGUCAUCUAGUGAAGAAGUCUCCAAACUUACACUAUUUCACCACAAAGGCGAUUAUCCAGAUCUCACCUCAAGGGCGUUACAGAAUACGCCACAUAGGCAUCACAAAAUAUGCCACAAAGGCUUUACAAAACAUUACGUGUUUACUGCCUCGACGGACUAUCUCAAAUGGUGCCUUGGGUUUCUCUCACAUGUCGUGCUCUAUCAGUCUGGUUUACAUUUUACUAGAGGCAACAUUAUGAGUAUUCUCAUUGUCGUAUAAUGCCAUGGGUCUCUACCACAUAGUCUUACACAUAUUUUCAUAUCAUGAUCUGUCAAUCUAGUUAGCAAUGUAUUUGCCCUACCGAAGGCAUUGCAAAUGGUUGUGUUACUCAUUUAACACAGAACACACUUAUAUAGAUUUAUUUACACACUCAUAACAACUUAUACCACACAUCAUCUUAUUUUUGCAAUAACUCAUACACCUCAUUUGUCAUCAUGUAAUAACCUUACCAUACUUCAUGCACUCAUCAGCUAUUAGAGUGGACAUCAACAUAUGAAUAACCAAGUAUAAAUUAAUAUCCACGAUUCAGGUUAGAGACUCACAUGAAACUCACAUUUACUAUAGCUCGGAGUUCCAAAUUCGUAUUUCCCGAACCAGCAGCAAUAACUGCUUAAAAGAACAUGAGAUAACCAUUAAAAUCUCAGUUACAGACAGUUUACCAGUAUAACAAUUACAUACAACCCCAUGCAGGGCCUUCUAUUCACUCUCUAUUAUAUUUAUGCUUCUUAACAUCCUUACUCUUUCAGAAUCAUAACAUACAGAACUGUCAAACUUACUAGGAGGUUGAAAUAUCCACCGAUUACCCCCAAAACCCCAGCUUCCAGUUUAAUGAAGAAAAAAAUAAUAUUUUAAGUUUAAAAGAAAGAACCAGAGUGUGGAACAGAAGGAAGAAAACCCUUUGGAUGUUCCAUUCAUACCAUAUAUAUAUAUAUACUCAAUUCCCCUUAGUGGAUAUUGACAAGUGUCAAUUGUAUACAUAAAUUGUCUUUUAAAUGCCUUACAAAAUCUGGAAAAAAAUAUGAAAAAUAAUAUAAUGUAGAUGUUUUUGACCAGUCAAUCCAUUCAAUUGACUCCUAGCCAAUCACGUUAUAGAACCCACCUUGCACAACAUUUGAGCAAACUAGGAGUACCAUUCCUUUGGCGAUAACUCUCAUAAGACAUGUUCUUAAAGAAGAUUUAAUCUCCCAAAAUUUUCUCAUACACUUAGUAGGCGUUUCAUACUCAGUCAAAAAUCUGAGGUGUACUCUUCGUUUUCCGUACUCUUCCUUUAAUUAAAGAAUACCUAAAGAUGAAAUCCUUAGAUACUUCUACGGAGGGUACUUUAUGCUCCAAAAUUUAAUUUGUCGGGAGCUUGUAAAAUGCCGAACUAUGUUACUAUAGUGCGCAAAAAUAGGUAACCUUCAUAUAUAUUUGCCUUCUUUACGGAUCCGCCAAAUUUAGGGUGUGACAAACAUGCUUCAACAUCGAGACACCGUUGUUAUCAACAUUGAGAGAACAUUUUGUAAUAAAUGGUAUAUGAAAUGUGCACCAUCUAUUUUGAUUCAACUCAGAGUCCACAUCAAGAUGUUCUUGAUGUUGAAGUUAACAAUAUUUUCGUAUCAAAUCUUUAUUGAGUGGAAAAUUCCCAACCACCGUCAAACCCUGCUGCUUUGACAUGAAACUGACAUUCAACUCAUCUAACACUAAGGGAACAUGUCAUGAGAGGAUGAUGUACCAACCAUUGAAACCUAUUUUUUUUUAAAUAUAAAGUGUGAUGUUAUAAGAAAUAUAAAUGUGAUGUUGUAAGAAACCAUGAGAUUUAUUACCUCUUUAGACAUAAUUUUUUCAUGUCAAAAUAUUUUCAUACAUAAAAUAUAGCUUUGUAAUUAACAUAUUUUAAAAAAUACCAUCACAUAGUUCAAAUUUACAUAAAGUUUUUCCAAAUAAUUAACAAAAAAUAUCAUUAUUAGUUGUUUCUAUACAAUGAAUGAGUUUCACAUCCAAUUUUAACUCAAAUUUUGUCAUGAUGGAAGCGGAGCUUAAAUUGAAGCUUGCUUGUCACCAUUAUAAUCUGUUUCACAUGUUGAUAGAAAGAAAUUAAAUUAUAAACCUAGGUGGCCUUUUAAGAAUAAUGAUGCAGUGAAUGGAGAACUGAUGUGUGUAUGGGUUUUUCAGAUCAAAUAGUUGUGUAAACUUCAAAUUUGUUAGUGUCACUUAUAUCCUUGAUGUUAUAAAUGAUGAAGGAUGCGCAUUGUCAUAACUAAAUCCUUCACCAACGUUAAACGAGGAAAAAGAGAGGUUGGGUCAGUAUGACCUAGUUGGGAGCUUCGACGUGUGGCUCCAACUUUGGCUAUGGUGGAGAGUUUGCUUAACCAUGACCUUACCAAUAAGCUUAUUAAUGGUCAAGUGGUACAAGUUCCCUAACUAUUGAAUAUUCUCCUUCCACAUAGAAUCGUGCUUGGCCUAUCUACAAAAGCCAUUGCAUAUAUGCCACAGAGACUUGGAUAUUAUCAUCCUGGAUAAUUUCCUCAUAGAUGGAAUAAUAAGCUCAUUAGUCCUAAAGAAGAACCUAUUAUGCAUGCUCAAUUAACCUAUAUUUAUCCUACCCUCUUAAAUUUAUCCUUCGAAGCCUAUAGAUCACUCAAAAUAUCUUGCAUCAACUCAAACUAUCGUUUCUCCCGUUUAAGGUGUUCCCAAUUUAUAAUGUGAAAACAAAUGAUGAAAACAAAUGAUGGGCACAUAGGCCUUAAAUAACACAUAGUGCUCUUAGGCUUAUCCAAGUAGAACGACAAAAAUUGCAUUGUCUAAAUAUAAUAUCCAAAAAAACUGCAAAUAUAUAAACAAUCAUUACGAUUAUAUUCAUUAGUACAUAUAACCACUUACAUUGGAUGAUAAUACAAAAUCAACAUACCUUUUAAUUGGCUCAUCCAUUGGUUUCUCAUCAUAUCCAAGUAAGUUUUUUAUUUUUUUAUUUUUUAUUUUACAAUAAGUAUGAUCCAAGUGACAUCUAAAUCUAUUCAAAUAUUCAAUGCAGUAAUAAUUAUAAAUAUUAGUCAUUCAAUACAUUCUCAGAUAUUAAAUAUGACUAUAUUUUUACCUCAGGCUGAGAAGGGAUGGACACUAACCAUGACAUCCAUAUAUAUUAUCAUGUUUACAGAAGUAGACAACAUUUAUUCAUUUCAUCAUUUGGUUCUCGAGUCACUCUACAAAGCUUCCUAUACAAAUAUGCCAAUGUUGUUAAACUCCAGCUGAAUGUAUCAACCACAUGAAAAGGCUCUAAUAAAGGAAGAUACAUGCAAUGUAUCUUGUUGCCAAACAACAUUCCUCUUACUAUCUUUGGCAUAUCAAUCCAUCUCCUCCACAAUUGCACGUGUUGGAGGGACAAGGACAAAAAGUCUUUCCAACUAUAUACAUUUCACCAUUUCUCAUCCAAUUCCUUCUCCUUCAUAAACAACACAUGACCCAACAACCAAUAACACUCUAAUCAUGCGUUGAUGCUGCUAGCUCCAAUUACUAUUUACCUAUCAGUUUGAAGGUUGGUUAUUAAAGUGACAUCUUUUAACAUUAUAGUCGCUUCCCCAUAUAGAAAAUGGAAUGUAAUAAUUUUUUGCUUCCAUCUUUCUAACAAGGCGGAAAGUAAAUUUGGUAUUGUUAAAUAUGACUCCUAUUUUCAGUCAAAUUUGAAAAAUAGUCUUUCAGUUAAACUCUGUUUACUUGUUUCAAUCAAACACUGAUUAGUUUAGAUUAUUUUAUUAUUUGAUCUAUGAAUUUAGCCUAUAAAUAGGCUCUUUUACUACCUUAGAAAACACACCCAUUAGAGAUUAGAACUCAUAACACAUUUAGAGAAUUUUGUGUUUACGUUUUGUGGGUUCUUUGUUUUUGGGUUUUCGGGGUUUAGUUUUUAUCUCCAUCUUUUGUACUCUUCGUUCUUUUGCCAUUAUAGUAAAAUUAUCUUUGCCCGUGAUUUUUUAUCCUCUUUGGAGGGGUUUUUCUACGUUAAAUUUGUGUGUUUAAUUUCUCAAUUUAUUCUGCUAUUUUCUUGUUCGUUACUUAAUCGGGUUAAAAUCCUAACAAGUGGUAUCAAAGUUAGUUCAAUUUUCAUAUAUCAGCCCGUUCAGAAAUGGCAAUAACAAGGUUUGAAAUUGAGAAGUUCGAUGGUGAGACAAAUUUCAAUUUGUGGCAAGUUCGGAUGAUGGCAAUUCUAGUUCAAUCAGUCUUGAAAAAGGUUGUUAUCAGGAAAAAGCCUGAGAAUCUAAAUAAAACAGAAUGGGAAGAGCUUGAUGAAAAGGCUUUAUCUGCAAUCCAGUUGUGCCUCACGAAUACGGUAUUGCAGGAGGUAUUAAUGGAAAAGACCUCAUCUGCCUUGUGAAAAGGUUAGAAACUCUUUAUGCGACUAAGUCUCUGGCUAACCGUUUAGUAUUGAAACAACGUCUAUUUACGUUUCGCAUGAACGAAUGUGAGCUUCUUAGAAAUCACAUCAGUCAAUUCAUUACUCUUUUAAAUGAUUUAAAGAAUGUUGAGGUUCAUAUUGAUGAUGAAGAUCAGGAUAUGCUAUUAUUGUGCUAUUUACCCCCUUCAUACAAGUCUUUCAGGGAGACCCUGAUUUAUGGCAGAGACAAACUCUCGUUCGAAGAUGUGAAGGGUCAUUUGUUAAGUAGAGACAAACUCGACAAUGAGCUUCAUUUGGAUAGCAAGACAGAUAGACAAGCUUCCGUUUUGGUAGCAUCAAAGAAACGAGAUAAAAUGUGUCGCUAUUGUAAAAAGUUAGGUCACGUCAAAGCAGAUUGUUAUAAACUGCGAAAUAAAAAAGCUGCUGAGAGCAACGAGGAAGAUGUAGCUGGUGCUAAUUUGGCCUAUGAAAAUGGGGAUGAUUUCUUGUCAGUUUCAACAAGUGAUAACACCAAGCUCACGUCCAAGUGGAUCCUAGAUUCAGGAUGUUCUUUCCACAUGUGUCUCAAUAGAGAAUGGUUCUCCACAUAUAGUUCGAUUGAAGGUGGAAUUGUGCGCAUAGGAAACGAUUCAUCUAGUAAGGUAAUUGGUAUUGGUACUGUUAAAAUUAAGAUGCACGAUGGGAUGAUUAGGACACUUUCAGAUGUCAGGUAUGUACCUGAUUUACGAAAGAAUCUCAUCUCCUGAAGUAUUUUAGACUUGAAAGGAUGCAAAAUCAACAUCGAGUUGAGCAGUAUUAAAGUGUCUCGUGGAGCUCUCGUUUUGUUAAAAGGUAAAAGAACCGGCAGCCUUUAUAUUCUGGAAGGUUAUACAGUGACCGGUGAAAUCGGAUGUCCCUCGUCCAUUACGGAGUUGAAGUCAACUUGUUUGGAGCGGAGGCAACUUGGUCAUAGGAGGGAAAAAGGUAUGACUGUUUCGUUGAAGAAAGGUUCUCUUUUGGAUGCAGGUUUUGAAAAGUUAGGGCACUAUGUUCGUGAAAAUCAGACCCGGGUUAGUUUUGAUUUGGCAGUGUACAGGUCGAAAGCUAGAAGUAUUCUAGUUUCUAAGCACAAAUUCGACUCAGUUAAUUCCCUGCAUAGUUCAAGAUAGGCUCGUGGCGGACUUUGGCAAAGAUGGCGUUGUGGAAAUAUGAGUCAAGGUGGAGAUUUGUUAAAUAUGACUCCUAUUUUCAGUCAAAUUUGAAAAAUAAUCUUUCAGUUAAACUCUGUUUACUUGUUUCAAUCAAACACUGAUUAGUUUAGAUUAUUUUAUUAUUAUUUGAUCUAUGAAUUUAGCCUAUAAAUAGGCUCUUUUACAACCUUAGAAAACACACCCAUUAGAGAUUAGAACUCAUAACACAUUUAGAGAAUUUUGUGUUUAUGUUUUGUGGGUUCUUUGUUUUUGGGUUUUCGGGGUUUAGUUUUUAUCUCCAUCUUUUGUACUCUUCGUUGUUUUGCCAUUAUAGUAAAAUUAUCUUUGCCCGUGGUUUUUUAUCCUCUUUGGAGGGAUUUUUCCACGUUAAAUUUGUGUGUUCAAUUUCUCAAUUUAUUCUGCUAUUUUCUUGUUCGUUACUUAAUCGAGUUAAAAUCCUAACAGGUAUCAUUUCAAACAUUAUUAUUGUAGAUAUUGCAUAUAAACAACACUAUUCAAGCAAUAUUGGAUACAUCAUAAAGCUAUGGGAAGUUUAAACUAUGUCGAGUAGAAACAACUCGAUUUCUUUGUUAUUCAAUAAAUCACCAAAAAAAUAAUUUUACUAAAUCUUAAAAAUAUUUUUGCAAAUAUAAUAAAAUUUUUAAAAUUGAGUUGAAUUUUUUUUCAUAUUAAUGACAUGAUUUGCUAGGUAUUCUUCUUGAAAACUUAAAAGGACAACCCUUUUUUAGAAAAGAAUAAAAAAUGUCAAGUUUUUGACAGAGUGGGAGAUUUAGAGUUUGAUUUUCAAUAGGAAUAAAAAAGGAUAAAAGGAGUGAGAUAUUUAUAAGUGAAGACCUCGACAUCCAUGGAUGUCAAAGUCUUAGUAUUAAAUGAGUUAAUUGAUCCAAUAAAUAAAUACCAUAGUGAAAAUUCACUAACUUGAACUUAAUAUUCAUGAAUGUCGAAAUCCUACACACUAUAUUUUGCAAUACUUUUAGAAAAUAAUAUUUGAGGAUAUGUUUUUGAUAAAUAAUCAAAAUUUUUACUAUGGGUGAAAAGGUAAAAAAAAUUAAUUUUACAAUUAUAUACCAAAUAAUAUAAAUUUAGUCACAUCUAUUAAGUUGAUGAAAAAGGAAAAAGCAUAAAAACUUAGUUUGGAUUUAAAAUUAUGUGAAUGGGUGAAUUAGGGUUACUUUUGAAGUUUAAUCUUAAAAACUGUUUUAGAAAACAAUUUAAAAUUUUAAAGGAUUAAAUAAUUUCUUCGAAAUUUAACUGUAAAUUAAUUUCAGCUGCUGCAUUGUCCCAUUGUUUUUUAACUAUUGCUUGCUGUAAUUUAUCAAAAAGUUAAAUUGUGUUGUAAAUUUUUAUACAUUGAGGAAUUUUUAGAUUUAGCCUUUAUAUUUAUAUAUUUAAAAUUUUAGAAAUUAAUUUUUUCUAUUUUUUUAAAAUUUCAGUCUAGUCAUUAAAAUUAUAAGUAUUUUUUAUUAAAUUUACUGACUUAGAUUUUGAUUAAGAUGCCCUCAUAUGAUAUGUCAUAUGAAUGACAUGAUAUAAACAUAAUAAGUUGAUAAAUUUCAACAGAAACUAUUAACGAUGUUAGUAACUGAGCUAAGAUUUUUAAAUUAAAAAAAUUAGGAAGAUUGAAUUUUAACUUUUAAAUUAUAUGGAUUAAAUCUUAAAUUUUAUAUAAAAGAGGGACUAACAACAAAUUUUAACCAAAAGAAAAAGAAAAAAUUGCUAUCUUUAAACAACAGGUGGAAGCACUGAGGAGAUGACGUGUAAAAUUGAGCAAGCGCAGAUAUUGGAGGGACGGUGGGUGGUUGAUGACUAUCCUUAAACCACAAAUUACACUUUUUGGCAUAUUAUUGACGCUGAUGCCUGUUGCCUUAACCCUUUUCAAUUUUCAUUCACAAUCUUACACAUUUCUUUCACUUUCGCCUUAAAUUUCAUAUUUUAUGUAUAAUGUUAUAUACCUUAUAAAAACGAAAGCUAUGUCUUCAUUAAAUAAUUAAAAUGUUUUUACGACUUUGAUAAAGAAAUGCAUGGGUUUCAACUUUCAACUUCACAAUUAUUUUAGUAUUCAACGUUGAAUUUUUUUUUUGUUUUUAUAUUGUAUUUUGAACUUUUUUUUAUUAGUCCCUAAACUUCAUAAUUAUUUUUACAUUAAAGCUAGAACUUUUUUGUUCAAGUUAGUCCUUCAUGUUUCCUUAAAAGAAAGUUUAACCCAAAAAAAGUUUAGACCAAUUUGGAAACAAUUGCAAGUUUAGGAACUAACUUAGAUCCUCCAAAAUGUUCAAACUUUAAUGUGAGAGCAAUUACCUAAUUCAGGUCCCAAAAAAUGCAUUAACCCAUUUUAAUUUUAAUAGACAUCAAUGUCCUAAUAAUAAAAUACACUAAUUUUUUUUCUCUUAAUGUUGUUUUGUGAUUCAUAAAAUAAUCUUUUUGUGUUCACGACUACUCCUCCCGAUAAUGUCAAUUUUAGAAUUCCAACCUAAAUUUUGUUUUUGAGAAUACAAUGUAAUGUACCCUAAAAUGUAUCUAAAAACAAGAUAAUAAAAUAUUUAUGGGUAAGCUACACCCAAGGUUACUAAACUAUUAGUAAGUUUAUGUUUUGGUCACUCAACUUUAAAAAAAGUUACAAAAUAGUCAUUAAAUUAUUCGAAAGUUUUCAUUUAAGUCACUGAAUCGUUAAAAUUGUUGUUAUAUGACAUUCUUUAUUUGCACUGCUGCACCAAUCAAAAGCUUUUCCAAAGUUCAAUUUUGUUUCAUGAAACAAUUUUAAACAUUACAAAUCUGCAAACCAAAAUCCAAACAACUUUUUUCUCCGACCUCUAACAUUGGCUGUCAAAUUGACUUGAAUUUAAAGUAUGUUCUUCUACUCAUUGAUUGGUACUGAUCUACUAUACUAUACCGAUCGUCAAAUCGUUGCUUAGAGCUCACUAGCUGGAUCAUUUUUUUAAAAAACUUAAUAUCUUAGUGACUUAAAUAAUAAAAAAUAACAUUUGAAUAGUUCAGUGUCCAUUUUGUAACUUUCUAAAGUUGAGUGGCUAAAACGGAAACUUGCUAAUAAUUCAGUGACCUUGGAUGGAAUUUACCCAAUAUUUAUAACAAUAUAUAAUCGUUUAUUUCACUUGAAGUUGGAGGCACAUCAAAACAAAAGACGACAGAGGAGAAAGAGGUAAUUGAUUAGGUGAUAGCAGGAAGAUGCAGGGCCAUAGGCAUGAUCAACCAAUCCACCAAGCCCAUCACUCACACGUAGCGCCACCUCAUGUACCACACCCAGCGCCACCGCAUGUAUCAAAUCACCCGCCCCCAGGGCCGCCACCUCCACAGCCUUCAUAUGUACCAGCGGGUCCUGAUCCACCUUCAGUGCCUGCAUAUGCACCACCAGGUCCUCCUCCUCCACAUCACCACCAUGGUCCACCACCACCUUCUGUGCCCGCAUAUGCACCACCUGGUCCUCUUCCAUCACGCCCCCAAGUCCCCCCUCGGCCACCUCAGGAGCAAGGCUGCUGUGUGAUAAUAUAAGUAAGAUUUGCAAAUGUAGUUGAUGUUGACAUUAAUUAAAUAAAGUAGUGUUAAUUUUACUAAGUUGGGAUUCAAAUAUUAUUUAGAUAGAAUCGGCUUUGUUUUUCAUAUUUGUAUGUAUGGUAAUGGUAAUGGUAGCUUCAUCAAGCCCUUCUCCUGUGGCAUUUUUAUGGUAUCUUGGUCUUAAUAAAAUGAAUUAUAAUUAGUAUGGUAUUGCUUCCAUUUUUAUAUUGCUUUAUAUCGAUUCAUCCGAUUGUAUUGUAUUGAUAACAUUUUGAUUUUUUUUUUCAUUUUUGCGUUUUGAUUUUCAAGCCAAUUUCAUAUAUAUACAUAUAUAUAUAUAUAUUUAUCAUUUUAAUGUUGUUUUAUAUAAACUUGAAAUAUUCCUUCUUUUUUGUAUAAUAGCAAAAACAAGAAGACAAAAACAAAAAUAUAAUUAUUGAGAACCUAAACUAUUGUAGGGCCAACUAUAGGAUGAUGCGUAUGUUUGUGAUGCCAUUUUGGCCACUUGUUCCACUCAAUAUAUACGUUAACGAGUGUGGAGCGGAUGUUUUUGUAGUUUAUGAAAGUUUUAAUUUGGAGUUUUUAUGUUUUCUAAAUUUUAAAAGUUUAGAUAAUAUUAAAUUUACUAAAUUAAAUUAUGUUAUUUCUAAAAUUUAAUGGGACAAACAUAUUAUUAUAUGUAUAAUAUUAUGUGAGGUUGUUAUUUUUAUAUAUUAUUUAUUAGAAAACUAGUUAAUAGAUUAAUGAUUGUUAUUUAUAUCAAUACUAAAAUUUCAAAAGUCGAAAAGUAUAAGGAUUUAAAAUAAUUUAAUUAAAGAAUAUGAGCAAACCCAUAAUUGCAUGUACAGUACAAAAUUAGUAAUUAAAUUUCACUAAAUGAACUUAACUAAUACUAUUUGGGUUAUGACUAAAAUUCCAAACUUUAAAAAGUACAAAAUUAAAAUUGAUUAAAUUAAAAUAUAAAGACUGAAAUUGAAAACCUCACAAAAUAUAAGGAUUAAUAGCCGAAUUUAUUCUAUAUCCUCGUUUAGAGGUUGAAGCUCCACGGCACUAUGAUUGAAUAAGUUGCGCAGGUGUAGGAAAAUAUGACAUUAUUUCUACAUGGAAUUCCAUAUAGUCCAAAGAACACAACUGUAGAAUGGUUAUCCUUAAGAGCAUUCUUAAUAACCUCCCUUCUCAACCAUUGUGGUGUCUAUUGCACAUUGUGGCUGUGUUGCUAGCUGUCGUAGAAGUCUAAAUGGUGAGUGCACUCAAAAUUUAGCAUCAUAAUUAAGCUAACUUGCAAACAAUUCUAUUAGAAAAGCCCUUGGAUAAUAUUAACUCAUUAGUCAUUAUAGCCCAUACUUCACCUUCUUAUUGACUUAUUCCAAGAGCCAAGUGUACAAGUGACGAUUCUCGUAAUGUAGAACCUGUAAAUCUUCAACUCCAAAUAUGUACAAUCAAAGUUCAAAUCAAAAACCAUACAAAUUUAUAUAAAACAAUUUGAAUAUGGUUUUGGUUCAAAUAGUAAAAUUGAGUUAUUAAAAAAUGUGAUUUGAUGGGUUUAAAAUUUAUGAUUCUCAUCAUAUGUAUGUAUUUUUUUAGAUUCGUCGGCAUAUAUAAAUACUAUCAAAAUAAUAUUUUCUUUUGUAAAAGAAUGGGGUUUUGGUCAUUUUACACAUUAGCGUGUGGUUUUUUUUUUUAUUUCUCAAGGUAUCUACCAGAGCGAACUUAGUAACUAAUCAUUCGCAUUCUAUCUCGAUUCUCUAAUAAUGAAACUAAACGAGAAUACUUGCCUAAACUAUAUGAUCCUUUCUUGCAUGGACCCUACCGCGGAAGAAUCAAAAAAUGGGGUUCCCCUUUAAGCAUAAAUCAAACUUAUAAAAAAAAACACGGAUCCAUUUUGGAUAAAUAAGAUUCAUGCUUUACUUCUUACUACUGAUUAUCACGACCUUGAACAGACACUAGAUACACUCAAUAUAAAAUCAUUAGCAACAGAAAAAGAACUCUCUUUAUUGACAUUGACAGAAGAUGAACAGGGAAAUAUCGAUUCCGAGGAUCGAGUCAAAAUUUUGAAAUUUUUAUUCAAUAUAGUUAUAACUAAUCCCAACAAUCAAACAAUUAGAAAAAAAUCUAUUGGAAUAAAAGAAAUAAGUA
Molecule: long non-coding RNA, 44433 nt
Filed under: Gossypium barbadense (sea-island cotton)
Lineage: Eukaryota; Viridiplantae; Streptophyta; Magnoliopsida; Malvales; Malvaceae
Description: long non-coding RNA (GBAR_LNC005005)
Source: RNAcentral